UUUUGUAUGCUUUAUCUUCCCAAUGGUUAGGUUCUUUGUAUUGGAAUUGGACAGCUAUCAAGCAUAUGAGAAAUCCAUUAAGUAAUGUUGAUGUAAUCAUGUCAAUGAGAAGAUUUCUACUUCAAGUUUGGCCGGUGGUACAUACCAAUCAGCUUAUCCGUGUGUACACUUCCGCUUAUGUCUUAACUCAAUUGAAAUAAUGCGACUACUAUGAGUAUGAGCACUUGUACGAGUAGAAGUAUUGCGUGUAUCUCCCACCGUAACUUCAUACCUUCCGGGAAAGUUUUGAUCAGCUGAGACCCACCACCUUCAAGAGGGAAACCCCACCAGUCUGUCCUCUAUAUGAACACCCCUCCUCUCCUCGCUCCUUACAUCUUCUCAAUUGAAAUUCUGCAUAUUUCCUUGUAUUUUUUAGAGAUAGAAGUUGGGGUUCUCCUCUGAAUCUCCACCUUCUUCUUCUGUUGCUUUUCAAAAAUUAGUAUCUUUUCCUUUUUGACAUUUUCUUAUCAGCAUAACUAUGAAUUCUGUCUCUGCAAGUUCUCUCUUCGAAUUUCUCUGCCCAAAACGUUUUGUAUUUUUCUAGCAAGGCCUAUCUCCUUUUUUUUCUCUGCUUCUUCCUCCCCUUUCCUUACAGAAACCGUUUCUUCCCCUCUUUUCUUUUCCUUUUUUUUCCUCGUCGGAGACAGAAAAUCUUCCGUGCUCUGUUUCUAGGUUACCGCACAGAUCAAAAAGUCCUACCGAUGGCAACUGGUUCCCCCUCACCCUUGAAGAAAGGCAACUCCGGUCUCCCUCCGAAAAGAGGCCAAAUCAAAGCUCAAAUUUUUGAGAGCUUGAAGAAGGCGGUUCUCUCAGUAGCCUCAAAGUCGGGAGAAACACUGGGAAUCCGCCGCAGCAGCGGUGGCCAUGGCGAUGCCAGUGGAAGCUCUGCCUCUGCAACCCCCCCACCAAGCGGCUACAACUCGGAUUGGAAUUCCGAUAUCUCUUAAAAGAAGUCCAAUCCGGCAAUCAUCAGCACAUCACCACCACCUUCUCAAUCCAACGAACUGAGCUUUUCCCAGAUUCUUUAUAAAAACCGGGAAAAGUUAUGUGAAGAAACAUCUAUGUUUUCUUCGCCUUGUGCUUUGGAUUUAUAUUUGUCUGCAGUUUCUUACUUGGUUUGCAUAAUGGAUACGUGUGAAUUGUGUAUUCUCCUACAUAGCCCAUGUUUUAGAAGGCUAUGACAGGAGGCUAUGCCGAUCUAUGUUUAUGUUGUAAGGUCAGUGUCUUAAUAUUUAGUUUGCGUUCUGCCAUUUCCAGCUUUUACCAUGUAGAAAAAAUCUCUUCCAAUGGCCGUUUCUGCAUGUUUUUAGAGCGGAGAUGACCUGGUUGGAGGAGGUGGUUUCAGUUGUCUGUAUUUACCGUUUCUGGACUCUGUAUUUUCCGUUUCUGUCUAUUGAAUAUGAUGCUGUUUGUCUAGUGGAAAAAAAAUCUAUGUUUCAAGAACUUUUACUCUUUUUUUUUUCCUAGUUUACUUCUUCUUCCUUGAAUCAAUUAUGACUGAAAUGGUGGGCUGCUGUUGGUGAUUGAAAUGGUCGUUGAUUUGGUAAUUUGCAUGCAAAUCGUUCAUCAUCUUCAUCAAAAUCCUCCACUUGGCCAAAAUUUUCAGGCCGAGUUCUUUGAAUUUUUGGCCUCUCCUUGGGAAGGCUUGCCGUUGACCCUGAUGAACCAUGCUGAUCCCAUUUGAUUUAAUGGGAUUGUACAUGAAUCUUAGUGCUGUUUUUUUCAGAUUCGGAAUAUACCUUCGAAAAAUCAGGACGUCUUUGACUUUUGUCCCCACCGGAGCUGUAUUUUAUUUAUGAAAUUUAUUUUUCAAAAAGAUUUUAAAUAAAAAAUAUCUACAAAGUGUUGUUCAUGAAAUUUGAAAUCAAUAAUAAUUUAUUCUAAUUAUACUAAAUUAUAAAGGCUAUGAAUGAAAUUAACCUAAGUACAUUUUAACCCUAUUGAUAGGGUGCGCUGUAAAAAUUGAUUGUGUACCAUCCACCACAAGGUGCCCGUAGAGAAUUGAGAUUGAGACCUGAAAAAAGGACAUAUAGCUGUCCAUUGUUUCACUGAGAUUGAGAUAUGGAAAAAGGGCAAAUGGAUGAAAAAGGUCGGCCGGAAACAAGCUUAUCCAUAUCUAAUUAAGGACCCUUUCAAUGAUAGUUGUUGGGGGUUGGGUGGGGGUAUGCGUAUGCUGUCCAGAGCAUAGAAAAAUAAAUUCAUAAAGCUGAUUCUGUAUCAAAUAACAAUAAUGCCCAACACAUAGAAAUGACGAUGCCUUUGUUUUCAAAUAUAAAAAAUAGGUGAUUUUUCACUUGGAAGAAGAAAAAAAGAACAAAAAAAAAAGUUGUAGUAGAUUAUGUGGUAUCCUAAAAAUAAUGUAUGUAGAUAAAGAUACUAAUUUCUAGCACUAAGGAGUAUAAGUUUACUAGCAAGCUGUAAUAUGAAUGAGAAUCCUAUAGUCAAUUAUGUAUUCAUUGAUUCGAUACAAAGGUAUGUGGCCUUUUUUUUCACAUAUGCAAUGAUUCACUCAUUAUUAUUCAUCCCCAAAAGACCUUUUACAUUUAUUAGUGACAAGUUGGCAUGGAAGAGUUUGACAACCAACGCUUCGCUUGGCUUGGGGACCAAAUAAUAGCUACAAGUAGAAAAGGUAGAGAGGAAGAGGUACAAAACCGUUCAAUAGUUUCUCAUAUAAAAUUAUUGACUUUAGAGAUAUAGUAAUAUGCGCCCCUUGUUUCAAAGAGAGGAUGAUAGGUUAUUCACAUUUCAUUUGAUGGUCAAAGGUGAAUUGAAAGCUAAGCAGUGGUAAUUAUAAAGAUUAUCCGAGGGAAAAAUAGAGAUGUCUCCUACAUUACCCAUAACAUGUGGAAGUAUUGACUCUAAUUUCAGAGUCAUUUGGUCUCCUUUUCUGGCUCCGAUUUUAUGUAACUUCGAUUACUAAUUUAAAUUUGAAAGAAUUGAUCUCCUUCAAAUUUUAUACUGAACUUUUGAUAUAUGAGUCUGAGUACUAAUCCAAGGAAAGAAGAUAUUAAAAAAAAAAGAUCAAACAAUGAUCUCAUCAGUCUUACCAAGGUAAUGAAUAAUCUUUUUGAAAAAUCAGGACGUCUUUGACUUUUGUCCACAUCGGAGCUAUAUUUUAUUUAUGAAAUUUAUUUUUCAAAAAGAUUUUAAAUAAAAAAAUAUCUAUAAAGUGUUAUACAUGACAUUUGAAAUUAAUAAUAACUUAUUCUAAAUAUACAACAAUUCCACCAGUCCUACCAAGGUAAUGAAUAAUCUUUGUUAGGGGUCCCAUCGAAAAAAGAACAAACUCUAAAAUAGUGAAUUUUAUGGAAUAUUAGAUCUUUUAAAUACGUUUCUAAACCCUAUUGAUAACUUUGUGGGUUCCCCCAUCGAAAAGUUGAACCAAAAAAUUUCAACUCCACGCUGAUUUCCUUCACAUGGACCAUAAUUACCAAUUUUUGUCUUUCUUAUUUAUUUUUUAUAAACUCAUUAUUUAAUGGUUUUUAAAAUAAUUUAAUUCUUUUAUUUAAUAAUACAUUGAUAUAAAUCAAUAUAAGUAAAUAAAAUAUAUUAACAAUAAAUUCAUUUUAAUGAUAUUGAUUGAUAUGAAAGGUAUUUAGUUGAAUACUAAAAAAAAACAAACACGUCGAUUUUCCAAAAUGACACCAAAAAUGCCUACAUCAUCCUUCUAGAUAACGCCCAGCUCGGGCUGACGUUAUGGAGUUAGCAGAAAAGGGAGUAUCAGAAUUAAUUUAGGUCGGCCAACACCGAACAAAGGGUUGUGUUCUUCUAGGGCUGCUUCUGUGAAUAUUAAUAGAGGGGGGACAAACUCCAGAAAUGGGCGGUGAGAGUGGUAGGGUUCUCUGCUUGACUUCCCAGAGUCUUUCCACCUUUCUUCUUUUCACAUUCCUUCCGGGGCUGUUUCAUUCUGACCAUUAAAUGAUUUGUCUGGGCUUAUUAAUUUUUGAGACAAUAGCUCUUAUGUGAUUUGCCCCAACGGAAAGAAACCAUUUUUUAAUUAAAAGUUUGUGUAAUUUAUGAGACUUUUAUUUAUUUAAUUUUGUGUUAAGUUUUGGAACCACAAGACAAUGGCACUUUUGGACCAUAGGGGAAUUACUAAGGAAAUGGGGUUGCCUUCUCUAAUCCACCCACUCAAGAAAAAGGAUAAGAAGAAAGAAAAGAAAUGUACAUGCUAGGUAUUGAAAUCAUGGUUAUGGGUGUAGACAUGUGCUCCUGAGGACAGGAAAUCUAAUUCUUGCAACUGAAUCUGUAGUGUGUAGUGUUAGGGGUUGAAAAAAGAAGGAAAGAAAGAAGAGUCACCCCCAGGAAAAUGAAGGCCACGACCUCUUCCACCGACCCCAAGUCCAGGCACCAAUCUCUUGUGGGACGACGGUCAACUCAUUUUGUCUGUUUGGCACCAAGAUUGUUUGUUUUCCGGCUGAAAGCGCCCACAGUGGAUAAACCCCACAAAUGGGCUGUUGGAGUGGGCUCCACACCCCUCCCCAUCACAGCCAAAAUCAUGGCUAGGUCUCGUACUGACUCGUCGAGUCUACUAUGGGCCUUCUUCAUCUUGUUCACACUCCUUUCCCAUCACAGCCAAAAUCAUGGCUAGGUCUCGUACUGACUCGUCAAGUCUACUAUGGGCCUUCUUCAUCUUGUUCACACUCCUUUAAUGUUGCGGUUGGUUUUCGUAUGAUGUCAGUGCUUAUGUCGGAGUAAUAUCAUUUGAAUAAUAAUCAAGUUAAAAGUAUACAUUGAAAUGAACUCGCUUAGAUAUAAUCCAUUUAAUAACCAUAUCUUUUUAUUUACUAAUCAAGUUCAAAUUAAAUCUUAUAUAAGUUUAUAUUUGUGAAAAUUUUGGCUUCUGAACAUUUAUCAUCAUACCAAAUUUUACAAUUAAGAUGGAUGAUUUUUUCCUUUUGUAUUUUUUGUUUUUAGAAAAAUAAAUUGGGGAUUUCUUUCCUUAUGGCAUUGGUUGGGUAAUCAGUCAAAAUUGGUUUUUUGGGAAACAAUAUAGAAUAGGAAAUGAGGUGUAAAUCAAACUAGAUUUGUGACCUGCCGUUAAGGGUGGUAGAUUAGGAAAAUAAAAUAAAAAUUAGGGCAAGUAAGCAUGUUGUGGUGUGCUUGUAAUUUGGGGGUUUACCUAGAGAGAAAUUGUUCUAGUAUGUUUUGCCUUGUAUCAUUGAUUGCAAAUAGUGAAAAUUGUUGCUACAAUUCAUGGAUGUAGGUUAGUUUUUUAUCGAACCACGUAAACCUUUGUGUUUUGAUUAUCGUUUCUUUAGGGUUUGCGUGUAGGAGUUCUUCUUUGUUGUGUGGGUAGUAUUACAUCUGCAAAGAGUUUGUGCAUUGAAUUCAAUAAAUUGGUUAAUUAUUUCUUCUUCAUAUUCCCACAAUUGGUGCGUGAGCGUGGAAUUGUUGAAGAUGACUACAACUAAGUCUGAGAUGCAACAAUUCAAUGCCAAGAGAGACUUCGACAUUUGGCAGCAACGUAUGAGAGCAAUCUUGGUUCAACAGAAGGUUGCUCAAGCACUAUAAGGAAAAAAGAACCUUCCAAGCACCAUGAUAGAGACAAAGAAGACGGAGAUGCUCGAAACGACAUAUAGCACUAUGAUCUUGUAUUUUAGUGACAGUGUUUAAAGGAAGUGCAACAAGAAGACAACUAUAGCAGACUUAUGGUUGAAAUUGGAGAGUCUUUAUAUCACAAAAUCUCUCACUAACCGGAUUUAUUUGAAGGUAAAAUUGUUUGGGUUCAAGAUGCAAGAGGACAAUAAUCUUAAUGAGAACUUCAAUGAAUUCAAUAAGUUGGUUAUUGAAUUGGAGAACAUUGGAGAGAAGAUCAAUGAUAAAGAUCAUGCAGUCAUAUUAUUGAACUCGUUACCAUUAACCUACAAUCAACUUCCUGAUACUAUUAAGUAUGGUAGGGAUACAUUGUCUCUUGAUUAUUUGGAAUUGGCUAUUAGGUCUAAAGAGUUAGAAUUGAAGGCAGAGAAAAAGACAAAUAUUGGUAAUGAGACUCUUAAUGUUUGAGGUAGAACGGAGAAAAAAAACAACAAGAACAAAAGAAAAUCAAGAUCCAAAUCACAGAUAAAGUUCAGGCGUUAUCAUUGCAACAAAAAGGGUCACAUAAAGAGAGAGUGCCUUGAUAGGAAGAAGAAGUCAAAUGAUAAGCAGGAAUUUGGAGACGCAUUUGUGGUGUUGGAUGGUUAUGAUUCGACAAAAAUACUUGUUCGUUCAGCACAAGAUACUCACAAGGAGUGGGCUUUGGACUCUGGGUGCUCGUUUCAUAUGAGUCCAAAUUAUGAGUGGUUUCAAACAUUCAAGGAGAUUGAUGGAGGGAUUGUCUUACUCGGCAAUAACAAGGCAAGUAAGAUAUGAGGGAUUGGAUCUAUCAAGGUGCGAAUGUUUGAUGGUUGUGAUAGAGUACUACAAAAUGUACGGUAUGUUCCAAAGCUUAGAAGAAAUUUGAUUUCCCUUGGGAUGCUUGAUUCGAUAAGUUGUUCUAUCAAAAUUGAAAAUGAGGUGAUGAAGGUUGUGAAAGGUGCAUUAACUUUGAUGAAAGGGGUUCUUUUGAAUGGUCUAUGCUCUUUGAUUGGCUCAACAGAAUAUGAAAUUGCAGCAUCUGUUGUAACAAAAUAUAAAAAAGACACAACUAACAAGAUUGUUUCAGCAAAUGGAGAGAAUUUCACAAUAGAAGGCAAAAUUGUCUUGACCAAUGGAAGUAAUAGAACUGAUUUGUGGCAUAGAGGCUGGGGCAUGUAAGUGAGAAGGGUCUAGAUGAGUUGUAUAAGAGGAGGCUAAUUGGAAAAGAAAAACUCAAGAAUUUGGAGUUUUGCAAACAUUGUGUGUAUGGUAAAAGUCAUAGGGUGAAGUUUAGCAAAUCGAUGCAUACAACUCAAGGGAUUUUAAACUAUGUUCAUACGGAUCUUUGGGGUGCAGCACGAGUUCAAUCCCAUGGUGAAGGCAAGCAUUUUUAUCUCUGGUAGAUGAUUAUUCCAAAAAUUUGUGGGUCUACAUAUUAAAGAGUAAGGAUGAGACAUUUGACAAAUUCAAAUAAUGAAGAAUCAUGAUUGAAAAUCAAACAAUGAGAAAAUUGAAAAUUUUUUAAAACUGAUAAUGGCUUAGAAUUUUGUUCUGAAUUGUUUGAUGGAUACUGCAAAAAAAGAAGGGAUUAGAAGACACAAAACUGUUAGAGACACUCCUCAACAAAAUGGUUUGGUGAAGAGAAUGAACAGUACUAUCCUAGAAAAAGUGAGGUGUAUGUUGUCAACAACAGGUUUACCAAGAUUUUUUUGGGUUGAAACUGUGAUGACAACAAAACAUUUGAUCAACAGGUGUCCUUCAACUGCAAUUGGCUUGAAAACUCCUCAAGAAGUAUGGUCUAGGAAACCUACAAAUUACUUAAAUUUGAAGGUGUUUAGGUGUACAACUUAUGCUCAUGUAAAACAAAAUAAACUGCAACCUAAGGCAUUAAAGUGUAUAUUUAUUGGCUAUCCAAAUGGAGUUAAAGGGUACAAGCUGUGUUGUCUUGAAUCUGGUUAAAAAUGACUAUAAUCAUGAUGUAGUGUUCAAUGAAGAAGAAUUUCCUGGUUUGAAGUCUGAUGGUGCAUUUUGUCAAGACGAUUCAAUCUGCCAAGACUACAAUGUUGGUGUUAAGGUGGAGCUCACACAUUUGGAAUCUUGCAAAACUAUUGGUCCAGGAUCAUCAACCCAAUUUCAAGAGAAGGAUUCAUUUCAACAACAUUGGAAACAAGGGUGUGAUGAUUAUCAAUUGGCGAAAGAUAGGCAAAGAAGAGUUAUAAGACCGCUUAAAUAUGAUUAUGAAGACAUAGUAGUUUUUGCUCUUACAACUACUAGUGGGUCUUUAAAUCAAGAACUAGAAAGUUAUCAACAAGCAAUGAGUUGUGAUGACAAAGAAAAAUGGCAGAAGGCCAUGGAAAAUGAAAUUGGAUCAUUAUACAAGAAAAAAACUUGGGUUUUGGUGGAGAGACCAAAAGAUAUGAAAUUUUUUUAUUGUAAGUGGAUUUAUAAUAAUAAUAAUAAAAUAAAAUAAAAAGGAUACACCAGGAGUAAAGAAAGCACGGUACAAAGCCAGGUUGAUUGCUAGAGGCUUUACACAAAAACAAAGAGUGGAUUACAUAGAAAUAUUCUCUCUGGUGGUGAAGCAUAGUUCAAUCCGGAUUUUGCUAACUAUGGUGGCACAUUUUGACAUGGAGCUUGAACAAAUGGAUGUCAAAACAACAUUUCUUCAUAGUGAGCUUGAGGAGACUAUUUACAUGAGGUAACUUGAAGGUUUUGAAAUUAAAAGCAAAGGAGAUCAGGUUUGUCUAUUAAAAAAAUCAUUGUAUGGUUUGAAACAGUCCCCUCGACAAUGGUAUAAGUGUUUUGAUGAUCUCGUGAUUUAUAGUGGUUUUGAAAGAAGUCAAUUUGAUAAUUGUGUUUACUUCAAGAAGAAAUCAGGUACUAGUAAUGUCUAUUUUCUGUUGUAUGUUAAUGACAUGUUGUUGGCAAGUUGUGACAAGGUAGUAAUUAAAGAUUUGAAGAAACAACUGAAAGGAAAAUUUGAAAUAACAGAUUUGGGACUUGCUCAAAGAAUGCUCAGAAUGGAGAUAUCACGUGAUAGAGAAAUGAAAACAUUAAAGCUUACUCAAAAAGAGUAUGUUAAUAAGAUUUUGGAGAGGUUUGGCAUGAGUCAAGUAAAACCUAUAAGCACUCCAUUGGCACAACACUUUAAAAUGAUAGCAGAUAAUUCACCUAAAACCAAGGAAGAAGUCAAGUACAUGAAGGAAAUACCAUAUGCUAGUGUUGUUGGUAGCAUCAUGUAUGCAAUGGUAUGUAGUAGGCCAGAUUUAGCCUAUGUCACUAGCAUGAUAAGUAGAUUUAUGUCAAUCCAGGAAGGGAACAUUGAAAUGUUGUGAAAUGGGUCCUAAGGUAUUUGAAGAGAUCUACUGAUGUUGGAAUUCUCUAUGGAGGUGGAGCUAUUGGAAAGUUAGGUGCUACAGGAGUGUAUGUAGAUUUUGAUUAUGUAGGAAGUUUUGGACACAAGAAGAUCCCUAACAGGAUAUGUUUUCAUAUUGUUUGGUGGAAUUAUAAGCUAGAAGGCUAGUCUUCAAUCCAAUGUGGCUCUAUCCUCGACGGAAAUGGAAUAUGUAGCUUUUACAGAAGUUGUGAAAGAAGGUUUGUAGGUUAGAAGAAUGAUUGGUGAGAUAGGGUCGGCACAAAAGACGUUGACAGUUCAUUGUGAUGAUCAGAGUGCAAUUUACUUGAUAAGGAAUACUAUGUUUCAUGAAAUAAUGAAGCAUAUAGAUGUCAAGUUACGUUUCCUGAGAGAUGUGGUGUCAAAAGAUGACGUUGUGGCUAAGAAGAUUCAUAUGGAUGACAACCCAGUUGAUAUGUUGAUGAAGGCAUUGACAACUAUCGAGUUCAAGCAUUACUUGAGCUUGAUAAAUUUUCUAAGCAAUUAAGAGAAGAUUGAGUAGCAACAAUUGGAUGAUAAAUUCAAAGCCAGACAGAGAUUUGUGAAAAAUUUAGCUUCCAAACAUUUAUCAUCAUACCAGAUUUUACAGUCAAGAUGGAUGAUUUUUUCAUUUCUUAUUUUUUGUUUCCAGAAAAGUAAAUAUGAGAUUUAUUUCCUUAUGGUAUUGAUUGGGUAACCAAUCAAAAUUGGUUUUUUGGGAAACAAUAUGGAAUAGGAAAAGAGGUGUAAAUCGAACCAGAUUUGUGGCCUGUUGUUAAGGGUGGCAGAAUAGGAAGAUAAAAUAAAAAAUCAGGGCAAGUAAGCACCUUGUGAUGUGCUUGUAAUUUUGUGGUUUACCUAGAGGGAAAUUGUUUUGGUAUGUUUUGUUUUGUAUCAUUGACUGCAAAUAGUGAAAAUUGCUGCUAUAAUUCGUGGAUGUAGGUUAGUUUUUUAUCAAACCAUGUAAACCUUUGUGUUUUGAUUAUCGUUUCUUUGGUGUUUAUGUGUGUGAGUUCUUCUUUGUUGUGUGGGUAGUAUUACAAUUGCAAGGAGUUUGUGCAUUGAAUUCAAUAAAUUGGUUGAUUAUUUCUUCUUCAUAUUCCCACAAUAUAUAUUAUUAUCUUUCAUACUAUAUUUAUGACUCAAUCAAUCCAUUUAUUCAAUAACAAAAUUUGUAAUGAUUCACAUAUAGAUUAAUUUGUUUAAAGUUAUAAUUAGAUUAAUCAAUAACAUUAUCAAAUAAAUUAAUUCAAUAUUUGUAUUAUUUAAGUUGACCUAAAAUCAAUCUAUUUAUUAAAUUAUGUAGGUUGGCAUGAAAUUGAUCUCAUAUCAUUAUACUCAACCUAAGCCCCUGAACAAUGUGUUAGGUUUGAGUUAUAUCGUAAGAUAUUUUAUCACCCCCUAGAAAUAUUAAGAAUAACCACCGAUCCAACUCCUUAUCUUGAUCGUUAAAUGUAUAUGGUGAAACUUGAACAAUUGAAUGCGGGUAUAAAUAAAUAAGACUAAUCGUAUAAGGUUACAAAAGAAUGGAACUUAAGGGCAAAGUCAUAGGAUUGAAGGUAUACACACAACACCUUAUGAUUGGUGAUGCUUUUUCAUUAACGCUACCCUUUGUCUUUGGAUGUAGGCACAAACAAAUAGAUAUAAACACAAUCCCAUAUGAUUAAAAGUACAUUUUUGACAACUAUCAAAAGAAUACCUAAAAAAAUUGAAUUUAAGUACAAAGUCAUAGGACCAAGAUAUAAACACAACUCCAUAUGAUUAAUAGUACAUUUUUGGCAACUAUCAAAAGAAUACCUAAAAAAUUGAACUUGACUAUAAAGUCAUAAGACCCAAGGUAUAAACAUAGGCAACUACCAAAAAAGUACCUAACUACUUCUCCAUUAUCUUGAUAUCAAGUACUUAAUUGAAAACCCUUUAUUUAUAUAUAUAAAUUAAAGAUUUUGAAGUCAAUUUAGAAUCUAAUGUCAUCAUCUCUCUUUUAUAUUAUUUUUUAUUAAUAUUACUCUUUCAUCAACAUCUUAGACUCUAAAACCAUGGAAAGGGAGGUGAAUAGGUAGCCCAUUAAAAAUUGUUCAAAAUUUUAAUUUUAAUUUUCUAAGUUCUUUGAUUAAGAUAUAAUUAAUUAAUAAAAGUAAAGAAUAAUCAAUCGUACAAGGGGACAUGUGAUUUACAUGGAAAAACAACUCACAAAGACUCUUAGAGAUUUUAUGAAUGUAAAAAUCAUAAGUUCAUUAACUACAAAGUUACAAUUCAUUAACUAUAUCCAAAUAAGAACAUAGAUUUAUCUGAUAGUUGCUACUUCCUGAGAGUUAUAUGGUCAGUUGUUGAAAAAUACUUUAUUUGGUGUUUAAUAUCAAACUUAAAAAAUAAUAUAUAGGAUAUGAAGAAGAAAACAUACUUUGAUACAUAGUCCUAACCUUAGUUUGGUUUGAAGUUCUUCACAUAAAUGUCUUAAACUUCGAUUUUGAUUUUUACUCUUCUACUCUUUCUUUUGUGCACUCCUUGGUAAUGGAUAUAAAAGGUGCUUUUGAUAUUUUGAGGAGAAAGAGAGACCAAAAACUUUUUUAUUUAUAGGUGUUUUAUGGUUCUUCUCAUCAAUGAACCCUUAAUUGCAUACUUUGAAAUUUUCUUUAAUGAAUAAUAAUAAUAAUAAUAAUAAUAAUAAUAAAAUUAUUAUUAUUAUUAUAUUGGAAUAUGAAUUUAAUUGUUUCCAAAAAAAAAUGUAUACCUUGAAAAAAUAAACAACACAUGGAAAUCAAUAUAAUUUAAAGUAAUGAUAUAAAGUAAUAUGACUCAAGGUACAAAUAAAUAAUGAUAUAAAAUAAUAUGAUUCAAGGUACAAAUAAAUGAAAUUAACAAUAUAAAGUAAUGAGACCAAUUGAUGACGUCUUAAUUUUUGCUUUUGUGAGUGAAAUUACAAAUUUAUCGAAUGGAAUGACUAUUUUUAGAAGUGCUAUUUUAAUUUUUGGGAAUGUUUCAUUGAUUUUGUGAACAAUUUUACUAUUUUUUGGAGGAUAAUUAAAUUUUGGGAAUGGAAAGUUCAUGUCUUGAUUCUCAUGGAACAAAUUUCAAUUUUCCUAUAAUAUAAAUAAAUAAAUAUUUUUUUUUUCAAAUUGCAGCAUAUGAUCUUCUACAUGUAAUAAAUAUUUUUUUUUUCUACUUUUUUAUUUAAUAUAAUAUUUUGUUUCAAUAAUUUAUUUUGAGUUAUUUCAGUUAGGUAAAAAAUUUCUUACCUUUUUUUUUAUCUAUUCAUCAAAAUAAAUAAAUUUUUAUAUAAAUUAUUUUUUAAAAAUCAUUUCUAUCUUGAAAAAAUAUUUUUUUUUAUAAAUAUAUUUUAUUUGUUUCAAAAAAUUAUUUAUAUUUCUAACAUCAAGUUAAAUGGAGGAAAACAAUCCAUUUAAAAAAAAACAGCUUUUUUAUUUUAUUGUUUUAUAAAAUAGUUUUUAUCAACUUAACCAAACAUGCAUUUUUUUUAAAUUAGAAAAACUUUUUUUCAUAAUUUAGUUUCUAAACAUAAUUUUUUUUCUUCUAAAAACAUCAAAAUUAUUUUUAAAAAAACAUUCUAAAAAAUUAUUUUUAAAAACAAUUCAAAAAUAUCUUACUUGUUUGCUCACUUUUCUCUAAAACAAUUUUCUCUUUUGAGAAAAAAAAACAAGAAAAUGUGUUCUUUAAAACAAAAAAUAAAGUAUUUUUUGUUUAAUCCUUUUCGAUUAUUUUUACUUGUUUUGUAUGGAUUAUUUUUAAAAAUACAAAAAUACAAAAAAUAAUUGAAAAUAAAUAAUUACAUAUAAAAUUUAUUUUUAAAAAUAUUUGAAAACACAAAAAAUAAGUUUAAAAUAUUUUAAAUUCUCAAAUAUAAUUUUGUUUUAAAAAAAAUAUCAUAAACUGUUUUUGAAAAAUAUCUUUAAAUGGGAGAACGGUUAAUAAAAAAUGUUCCCAAACAGUGCUUAUUCUUUCUUUUUCUUUCUUAAACACUUUAUUAAAUAAAUUAAGAAACCACCCACCAUCUGUGUUUGAAAAUAAUUUGGAAAAGCGUUUAUACUUAAUUUUUUUUACCUUUUAAAUAUUAAAAAUACUUCCUGAACUCAUUUCCCAACCUUAUCAUCACCAUGCCUACCAACCGGUCACUCCAAGCUUUUCUUAAUUUUCAACUUCCCAAGUGUUGCUCUGCCAUUGGCGGUAACUUGGCCAAACCUAAUUUCACGAAUCCCUUGCGGAACCUUGCACAUCAAGUAAGCUACAGGUUAGGGGCUAUAUGUAAAUAAGCCAUCCCGAAACUAUCCCUAUCUCCUUCACACCUCAAUCCCUGUUUCUACUCUGUCCAUUCAGCAAUGGAAAUUGCAGUCUCCACUAGUCCCAAUUACAAUCCAGAAAGACACCUCCCGCCUUCACGGGAUCAGAUGGGAGCAGAUCAAGGAGAUAGUGGUGGUCGUCGCGGUAGCUCCACCUCUUCAACUCUUCCUGAACCCUCUACCAAGUACUAGCUACACUUGAUAUGGGAGGUAAUGAUUCAUUGAACUUAGAUUUCUUCUUACGGUUGUGAUGGCUGUUGUCUAAUUAUGAUAUGCUUGGAUCCCUAGAAAAUUUUUCAUUUGAUUCAAAAUUUUCUUUUCCUUCAGUUGACGGAAAGGGAGAAAGGGAGAAAGGGAGAUGGGGAGACAGGGAGAAAGGGAGAAAGACGAUCGGCUGGUAAACUUUUAAGAAGUUUGUAUUUCCAUUUAUGCAGAAAAAGUUGUAGUAUUUUUGCUUUUGCAUGCUUCGUUUAGAGACUGGAAUGGAUCAGUGGGUAUGAGAUUGAAUGGAUCUUGAUUUCUUGAUUUCUUUUUAAGUGGAAAUGUUGAUCAAUAUGAAGAUCAUAUCACAUACGCCUCUGUCCCUCUUGUAAUUGUGUGUCUGAAAGUCCUCACAAGCCCAUCAAUGGUCUCUUGCUGUAUAAUCCUGCACUUUGAAUACCAUUACAUUGAUUUCAACCAAAAAAAACCCAGAUUCUUUUCAAUUUUCUCCAUUAUGACUUCCAGACCUGAGAAUUUCCUCAGGCAGAAGGUGUGGUCCUCCACAGGUACUACCUUGAAAAUGCAAUUUCAAAGUGAAGUGACUCGGUUCAACGCAGCCUUUGAAUUGCCCCCACCUUUGUGGGGACGUGAGCAUCUACUACUCACUGAAUCACUGAGUCAGAAUUAUCUUUUCAAAUUUUAUUUUAUUUUAUUUUUCUCCAGACCAGCUGGAAAUAUCUACGGUUGGAUCUCAUUUUAUUUUUUUAAAGAGAAAAUCAAUUUAGAAGUUAUAAAUAGGAAGACCAUGGAAUCUUUCUCCGCCGUAGAAAAACGAAGGAAAAGUCUGGAUACAGCUGUAUCUGCCGUACAACUGCCCACUUCCUCAUGCAUUUUAGCACGUGCGAGGACUCAACCCUCUAGAAUGAUCUAUAUUCCAUGUACCUUAAUUUAGGUGAUAUUUGUUAAAACUAAAAAUUAAAUACUGAAUGUAUAAAUUAGUAUUAAUCAUUAUUUAUUUUGAACUAGGUAUAAAUAAAUCAUUGGAUCUUAGGGUUAUUCAUUGGGCAUUAAUCAUUUUGGUUAUUUAGCUAUUAUGAGAGUCGUAUGUGGAGGGUUUCGAUUAUAAGUCCUUCCUUGAUGAGGAAUGCUUGCGAAAUUUGCUUGGAUGGAUGUGUAAGACCGUUUUUAAUUAAUAAUGUCUCAUCAAUAUAACGAUGAUACUAAAAAACGUAUAUUUAAUACAUUAUGAUAGGAGAGGAUGACCCAUUAAAAUAACAUGACAAGUAGCGGUCUUAGAUUAAGAUUACCGCGUUAAUCAACCUUUUGCUUUAUCCUAACAUGAUUACGAUGUCAGCUAAUUACAUACUUGCUAAUGAACUAUUCGAAAGAGAGAAGGUAUGAGAGCGUGACCCAUUAAAAUGACAUGGCAAGUGGAGGCCUUAGAUUACCGCGUUUAGCCUUUUGCUUUAUGCAUUGAUUAUAAUGUCAAUCAAUUCCAUACUUGUUAAUGAAACUCUUUGAAAAAAGAAAAGUUAGGAGAAGAUGACUGUUGUUGUAGUAUGUGACUUAUAUUAAAUGAAAAACAUAUGAAGAAAAAUGGACAAAUAUCAGCGAUAUUUGUCAUGGUCAAUGUUUGUCAUGGACAAACAUUGAUUAUAAUUCAAUGUUUAUUUUCUCAUAAUACGAUUUAGGGAUAUUUUUAAAUUUUCAUUAUUUGAAGAUUAAUAUAAAUACCUUUUUAUAUAACCUAAUUCGAAAUAUAGUGAAAGUUUUCUUUUCAAGUCCUAGACUUUGGCAUGUAAGAAAAUAAAAAAGUGAACUAUUAAAAUGACAUGAGAAGUGGGGGCUUGGAUUGCUCCUUUUUGCUUUGUAAGAAAAUAAAAAAGUGACCUAUUAAAAUGAUAUGACAAGUGGGGGCCUUAGAUUGCUCAUUUUUGUUUUAUCCUAAUUACGAUGUCAGCGAAUGACAUACUUAUUAAUGAACUCUUUAGGGAAAGCUAGAAAUAUUUAUUUCAAAUUGAGGUUAUAUUUGUCCCUUUCACAAAGUAGGGUUGUUCCUCUCACCAUCAGGUGCAUCACCCAAUGCCCAAAUCCCAUGUAUGGUGGUUUUCACCGUCAAAAAAAGGACUCAAAAGCUGUCAUAUAUGGUCUAAUAUAAUAUUUUUAUAAAUAUUUGGGACUAAAUUAUGAAUUUAUGGUCCCACACGGCUUCAACUGUGGAUAGGUCUAUUCAUGCAAACAAAAAGACUGGUACUUUUGAUAAUGAUGACUUUGAUAUGAUUUUUGAUUUAUGGUUUGUUUUGCUUUGAGAAUGGUGGGUGUUGGGAAAUUGUUUUUUUAGCCGAACGAAAAUGAUUUUUCGGGCCUCUUAAAUGCCUUUUUCACAAUUUAUUAGAAUGCUUUUACCUUUUGUGAGGGAGAAAUACGCACUCGAUAGACUACAACAUUGGCUUUCAUCUAAAAAUGGUUAAAUCAAACUUUUAUAAAAUUAUUAAAGUAUUUAUUACAAUUUAGAAGUCUAAAAAUAAUGUUUUUUAAAUAAAAAUUAGUAUUUGACGAUAUUUAGAAAACACUUUUAAAAAUUAUUUAUAAUGUUAAAAAAUAAUUUAUAAUAAUUUUUGGAGAAAUAUUUGAUAAAUGAUUUUCUUUUAGUGAAUCAAAAUCGAUUUAUAAACAUUGAGAGUUUUUUUUUAAUAUUUUUUAAAAUUAGUGGGUCAAAAAUUAAUUUUCCUUUUUCUUAAAAACACUUUAAAAAAUUAUUUUUAUUAAAAAUGUUUUGAAUAAAUAUGAUGUUCUAUAAAAAUUAUAUCAAAAGUAUAUUUGGAAUAACCUUUUUAACUUUUAGGUUUAGUGGUUGAAAAAAGAUAAAAUAAAAAUAAUUAUUAUUGCUAAAGGAUUAAAUUUUAUAUUUAAUAAUUAUAUUUGAAGAGUACUUUUAUUAAAGAUUUUUAAAAAAUUAGUUAAAUAUGGAUUUGCUUCCUAUGUCUUUUUUUUUUUUUUAAGUAAAAAACAUAGAUUUUUUUUUGAAGUGUGAAUAUUUCUUAGCCAAGUGUGGGGCCAACCUAAACAAGACUUACAAAAAUAGAUAUUUGAAAUUUAAAUUUAUUAUUUAUAAAUCAUUAUUAAUAAAAUUAUAAUUUUUUGUUUAUCAUGAUUGCAUAGUUCAAAUGGAUUUAAUAAGAAAACUAAAAAAAAUACAACCGCUUUUUCACUUUUUCUGAAUUAUAUUUUAAAUUCAUUAUUCUUUCAAUUUAAAAUCUAACAAUUAUUAAGUUUACAUAUAACUAACUCACUUCUUAAAUAUAUUUCAAUGUGCUUUUAAGGUAAAAAAAAUUAAGUAUUAAAAUUUUUAUUAUUGAAUUACAAUGGUUGAAAGUAUUUCCAAAAAUUUAAAUUUUGAAUUUAAUUGUUUUAGUAAAGAAAAAAAGUUUAAAAAUUAAGUAGCGAAGGAUUUAAUUUUGAAUUAUAAUUGCUAAAACUAUCUUUUAAAAUUUUAAAAUUUAAUUUAAUUUUUUUGACAAAGGGAAAAAAGGUUUCAAAACCAUCCAUUGUUCUUGCCAUAUUCAGUCACUAUUUGCUCAAGAACUACAAAUACGAUGUGAUAAAUCCAAAUGUUGUAGUGUUGUAUAUAAUUCAUUUAAAAUAACCUAUUUAAAUAUUUUAGUAUGUUAAUAUAACACAUACGUAGUGUUUGGUAAAAAUUAAUAUUUAUUAUUUAAUGACUUAAAUUGAUUUUAAAUUAAAUUAUAUUUAAGUUAUUAAAUUAAAAAUUAUUACUUUAUUAUUAUUUUAAAUAUUAAGGUUAUUUGAUAAAAUUAACUUAAAAUUUAUUCUAAAUCAUCAAAUUCACAUAUUUAUAAUUAUAAAUCAUAAUUUUGGUAAGGGAAGUCAAAUAACAAUGAAGAUCGUGGAAUAGCGAAAAAUAUCAUGAAGAUAACUAGGGCAAAUUGUGAUAAAAAAAGUAAAAUGAAGAUGUAGAUUUAAGAAUAAUUUAAUUAUUUUUACUUAUUACCUAAAGUUAUUUUUUACUUUAAGUCAUGUCAUUAAGUUAUUUUAUUAGAUAUGCUUAAUUUACUUAAUGACUUAAAUUAAGUUAUUAAAUUAUUUUAAGUUAUUAAGUUGGUUUACCAAAUAUUUACUUAUCUUAUCAUAAAAGGUCCAAUACAUAAAUUUCAUGAAUUUAUUUAUUCAAUUUUAGUAAAACAAUUUUAAUUUUAUAUCUACAUAUUAUAAAAGAUGCAAAAUAAAGUUGAUAAUUAACCUAAAGUCUACAAAAUAUGCAAAAUUCAAUUCAAAAGCCAACAAAAUUAGACCCAAAGAGGCCAUCUUUAUCACUUUAGGGGUCGGGGGUAAAUGGGGAAGGAGGUAGGGAUGGUUAGGGGGUAGGCAUACAACCAAGUCAAAGUAGUUUAUAAUUGACUCUCAAAGGCAUUGUUAUCAUUUGAAUGAUAUAAGUCCAUGGCCUAUUUUUGGUUCACUCGAAACUUUAGCAACCAUCAUAAGAGGUGUGAUAUACAUGCACCCAUUUCAAGGGGGUGCAACACUUCUCAGUUUGGGCCUCAUAUUUACCUGAUAUGCCAUCGUUGUAUAGUGGCGCAAUGUUACAUGUGAAUCCACUUUGGGAGGACAUCAUACAAAAGUUGUACAAAUUAGGACUUUAGUAUGGUUCUAUUUUGUUCAUCUAAUUGGAGAUUAUGUUUUUUUUUGCUUUUUUUUUUUUAGCUUCUUAUCAUUCUUCCUUGACAUACGAUAAAGAUUGGAGAUGCAUGGAUCUCAAAAGGGAUGAGUUUUAGAUGGAAAGGGCUCUCUUUGAAGGAAGAUUCUUUAGUUUUGUAAGCUAAAAUAGCUAGUUAAAGGCAAAAUGUGAUAUCCCAUAUCAAAUAAGAGAAAAAAUUAUCGGUACUAUAUAUGUAUAAACUUAUUUUAAUCUUGUAAAAGCGUUUUAAAGUUGUGAAGACCUUUUUGGGUUUAGAACAAAUAAUAUCUACAUAAUUGAGUGUAAGUUGUUACUAAUAUUAUCAGAGUCAAUCUUCUACUCUGGUGUAAGGAUUUGUUUGGCCCGUGGGUGAACCUAUUAUUGUACCCUUUGUGCAAGACAACAUACACAUACAUGUCAUAUCGAAUAUGGAUCAUUAACAUGUAUGUCUAAAUUUGAUUGGUUGAAUGGACUAACAUAGAGAAGAGACAUAAAGAAAUCAAACCAAUAUCAAAAACAAAUAAAAAAAAAGUCACUAUUGAAAAAUAAAACCUAUAAAACAAGGGUAUUAUUUUUUAUAUUACUAAAAAAAACUCCUUGGAUUACCAAUGGGACGAGUUUUUUCGGGCACCCAUCCCGUCCCGUCCCUAAUGGGACGAGAUUCAAUUUUAAUAAACGGGUUUGAGAUUUAUUUUAAAAACCCAGGACGGAUUCGAAUAUUGCCUCGUCUCAUCUCGAUUAUAUAUAAAAUUAAUUUAAUUUAAUUUUUAUUUUACUAUUUUUAAUAUAUAGAUGAUAAUGAAAUAUUUUUAAUAAAAUAAAUUAUAAAAAAUAUAAUAAUUUAAUUAUUUAUAAAAUAUAUUUUAUUUUAAUAUAAUUAAAAAUUUUAAAAGUAAUUUAAAAAAAUUCAAAAAGAAAAGUUUAAUGGAUGGGAUAUGGAAUUUAUUAUAUUCAUCCAUCCUAUUUAAUUUUUUAAAUGGGAUGAGAACGAGAAUUAUUUUAAAUUAACGGCGGGGUUCGGAUGGGGGACUCGUACCCAUUCCUAGCUUUGCUUGCUUUCCCAUCCUUUGUUUCUAUGUGUGUCGAGAGGGUCAACAAAAUUGGAGCUUGGAAAUGCCAAUUUUACCCUAGAGCAAGCAUUAAACAGGUGGCGGUAGAAGCGUACAAGAGCCGGAAUCGUCUUCACCCAGAAAUUGCUUUAAGCCGUCUAAUGCCAAUUUUACCCUAAAGCAAGCAUUAAACACGUGCCGUUAGAAGCGUACAAAGCCGGAGUCGUCUUCACCAUUGGGAUCCAUAUCUUUCACUAGGCAGGACUUAGGAGUAUUGUGGGCGCCUAUUUUGGGAUAUAUAAAAUAGAAGAGAAAACACGUGAGGAAAAAUCACCCACUGGGAGUUAGGGAGUUAGUACCGUAACUGUAAUUAAUAACGGCGGUCCCCACAGAAUAUUCUGCCCUCAUCCGAGUUCAUUGUCUCACCAACUCAGUUGCUUGGAAGCCAAGUUUCCGAGUUCACCCUCCACUGCUUCGCUUACAUAUUCUUCUCUUCACUCCCCUCUCUUUCAGAGAUCCAGAGCUCAAUCUUGUGAUUUGGCUCUGUCUUUUGGGUUUUCGUUCUCUGUUUCUCCCUUCUUCUCCAAAGGGGUUCGCCUCUCGAUCCUCUGUUUCUUGGUUUCCAUCCCCUCUGUUCUUUACUCUUUACUCCCUACUCCUCCUCUCUACUCCCUCUUCUCUCUCUUCACUUGGGGAUCGCGAAGUUAAUCGUCGGAUUCGCUUUCUUCCUAGGGUUUCAAAAUUUCUAUCCCCUGUUUUUGGUGUCUUCUCCUCCUCACUCCAUUCAGUGGUUUUCUCUGUUUCCUGGGUUUCAUCCCCUGUUUUCCCCUAAUGCCAAUUUUACCCUAAAGCAAGCAUUAAACGCGUGCCGUUAGAAGCGUACAAAGCCGGAAUCGUUUUCACCAUUGGGAUCCAUAUCUUUCACUAGGCAGGACUUGGGAGUAUUGUGGGCUCCUCUUUUGGGACAUAUAUAGCGCACCAAACACCCUCGAGGAUCAUCCCCCGUUUCCAAAGGAUUCCACGCCUCAAUCCCUGUUUCUUUCUGCUCCGUUUCUUCAGCAAUGGAAACUGCAGUCUCCAGUAAUCCCAAUUACAAUCCAGGAAGACACCUCCCUCCUCAACAGAGAGGAGGGAUCAAAAAACAGAUAUUCAAAGACUUUCUCGAAUAUGUUAGUGCCAUCGCGCUUUUACUGGGCCAGAUGGAAGCAAAUCAAGGGGAUAGUGGCGGUCGUCGCCUUAGCUCCGCCUCCGCACCUCUUCCUGAAAUCCCUCCUGGCUACACUUCAGAUCUGAGGCGUUGAUUCAUUAAAUUAGAUUUGGCGAUGGUUGUCUUUUGAUAUAUGCUUGGAUGCCGAGAAAAUUUCACAUUUCAUUCCAAUUUCUCCCUUCCUUCAGUUUGACAGAUCUGAGGAAAGUCGAUCGACGAUCGACGAUCGGAAGCGUUAUGAUUGGGUACUGUCCUCCAUGCCUGUAUAUAAAUCCAGAAAUCUUCUUGUAGAAACUUUGUAUUUUCACUUUGUACAUACUUCGUUAAUAAAGUGGAAUGAAUCAAUCAAUGUAUUAUUUGUAGGACCCCUCCCUCUGGGAAACACGUGGCACGCACCUCACAGUGACACGUGGCACGUGUUAUCAGCCGGACCAUCAUCAUCCGGAUUCCCCUAAGGAUACGCAUGAUGAUGGUUCUCCUAUCCGGACCGCCUCAAGGAAAAGCAAAUGACGUUUCAAUUUCUCCUAUCCAAGGAAGAGCAAAUGUCCCUGGCAAAACAUAGACAUCCGGACAACCUUCAUAAUGCAUCCACUCCAUAAUACAUCCGGAUAAUCAGCAUGUAUCGUCCGGAUAUAAUCGUCCGGAUGAUCAAUUAAAGUAAAACGAGUCUCACACGCUAUCACAACGAACAGUCAUGGCCCACAUCCCAUCAUCUGCAGAGUGAGAAGACAAGAUGAAGUGACAGCAAGUCACUUCCCACGAUCAUUCUACAUAAUCACUUCUCACGAUCUCUAACAGCCGCAUCACCUACCAUGGUUUCUGACAGCCGUUCGUAGGGUGAUGAUGCUCCUACUGACGCCUAUUAUCAUCAUAACAACAUAAAAUAUCUUCUCACCAUUAAUGAGGAGAACAGUACCCCUGAAGCUGUAUAUAUAAAGCCUUCAGACAAAGAAGAAGGCGAUCCGCUGGUAACCUCCUGAUACCUAGUAAAAGGCCAACUGAUGUAUAUCUCUCUCUGACCAUGGCUAACAAAACCAUCAGAGGGUGCGUCCGGACACCCUGUCCGGAUGCCUUCUUGCAGGUAUAACGGCUGGAUCAAGAACCUUUAUGGGUUGAAAUCACGCGUCCAUCCAUCUGGCAACUACGUGGAUCAUCAAAGACGCGAGGUACCAACAUUAUUGAUUUCUGGAUUUCUGUGAUAUGAAAUGCGUCCAUGAAUUUGCAAAUGAAUCCGAAGAUCAUCUAUGCCACCGCCUCCUUCACUCUUCCAAAUUGUUUUCGCUUUAUAAUUGUGCAUAAUUCAGUUUUGAGCUGCCAAAAUCUCGUAGGGACACUUUCAAUUAUGCACUGAGUCAGUAUUGUCUUUUCAAAUUUUAUUUUAUUUUAUUUUUCUCCAGGCCAGCUGGAAAUAUCUCCGGUUGGAUUUCAUUUCAUUUUUUUUAAGAGAAAAUCAAUUUAGAAGUUAUAAAUAGGAAGACCAUGGAAUCUUCCUCCGCCGUAGACAAACGAGGGAAAAGUCUGGAUACAACUGUAUCUGCCGUACAACUACCUACUUCCUCAUGCAUUUUAGCACGUGCGAGAACUCAACCCUGUAGAAUGAUCUAUAUUCCAUGUACCUUAAUUUAGGUGAUAUUUGUUAAAACUAAAAAUUAAAUACUGAAUGUAUAAAUUAGUAUUUAUCAUUAUUUAUUUUGAAUUAGGUAUAAAUAAAUCAUUGGAUCUUAGGGUUAUUCAUUGGGCAUUAAUCAUUUUGGUUAUUUAGCUAUUAUGAGAGUUGUAUGUGGAGAGUUUCGACUAUAAGUCCUUCCUUGAUGAGGAAUGCUUGCGAAAUUUGUUUGAAUGAAUGUGUAAGACCAUUUUUAAUUAAGAAUGUCUCAUCAAUAUAACAAUGAUACUAAAAAACGUAUAUUUAAUACGUUAUGAUAGGAGAGGGUGACCCAUUAAAAUAACAUGACAAGUAGCGGUCUUAGAUUAAGAUUACCGCAUUUAUCAACCUUUUGCUUUAUCCUAACAUGAUUACGAUGUCAACCAAUUACAUACUUGCUAAUGAACUAUUCGAAAGAGAGAAGGUAUGAGAGCGUGACCCAUUAAAAUGACAUGGCAAGUAGAGGCCUUAGAUUACCGCGUUUAGCCUUUUGCUUUAUGCAUUGAUUAUAAUGUCAAUCAAUUACAUGUUAAUGAAACUCUUUGAAAAUGAAAAGUUAAGAGAGGAUGGUUGUUGUUGUAGUAUGUGGCUUAUAUCGAGUGAAAAACAUAUAGCGAAAAAUGGAUAAAUAUUAUAGCGGAGUAAUAUUUGUCAUGGUCAACGCCUUCCUCUUCUCACAAUAUGGUUUAUGGGUAUUUUUGAAAUUUCAUUUCUUAAAGAUUAAUAUAAAUACCUUUUUAUGUAAUCUUAAUUUGAGAUAUCGUGAAAUUUUUUUUUUCAAGUCCCUAUUAAAAUGACAUGACAAGUGGGGACCUUAGAUCACUCCUUUUUGCUUGAUCCUAGCAUGAUUACGAUGUUAGUCAAUUACAUACUUAUUAAUGAACUCUUUAAGGAAAGCUAGACAUAUUUAUUUCAAAUUGAGGCUAUAUUUGUCCCUUUUACAAAGUAGGGUUGUUUGUUACAUCAAGUGCAUCACCCAAUGCCCAAAUCCCAUGUAUGGUGGUUUUCACCGUCAAAAAAUGACUCAAAAGCUAUCAAUUUUUAUGAAUAUUUGGGACUAAAUUAUGAAUUUAUGGUCCCACGCGGCUUCAAAUGCGGAUAGGUCUAUUCAUGCAAACAAAAGGACUAGUACUUUUGAUAAUGAUGGCUUUGAUAUGAUUUCUGAUUUAUGGUUUGUUUUGCUUUGAGAAUGGUGGGUGGUGGGAAAUUGUUUUUUUAGCCGAACGAAAAUGAUUUUUCAGGCCUCUUAAAUGCCUUUUUCAUAAUUUAUUGGAAUGCUUUUAUCUUUUGUGAGGGAGAAAUACGCACUCGAUAGAUUACAACAUUGGCUUUCAUCUAAAAAUGGUUAAAUCAAACUUAUAAAAGUAUUAAAGUAUUUAUUACAAUUUAAAAGUCUAAAAAAAUGUUUUUUAAAUAAAAAUUAGUAUUUGACGAUAUUUAAAAAACACUUUUAAAAAUUAUUUAUAAUGUUAGAAAAUAAUUUAUAGUGAUUUUUGGAGAAAUAUUCUAUAAAUGAUUUUUUUUAAUGAAUCAAAAUCGAUUUAUAAAAGUUGAGAGUUUUUUUUUUAAUAUUUUUUUAAAUUAGUGAGUCAAAAAUUAAUUUUCCUUUUCUUAAAACACUUUAAAAAAUUAUUUUUAUUAAAAAUAUUUUGAAUAAAUAUGAUGUUCUAUAAAAAUUAUAUCAAAAGUAUAUUUGGAAUAACCUUUUUAACUUUUAGGUUUAGUGGUUGAAAAAAGAUAAAAUAAAAAUAAUUAUUAUUGCUAAAUGAUUAAAUUUUAUAUUUAAUAAUUAUAUUUGAAGAGUACUUUUAUUAAAAAAAAUUUAAAAAUUAGUUAAAUAUGGAUUUGCUUCCUAUGUCUUUUUUUUUUUUUAAGUGUGAAUAUUUCUUAGCCAAGUGUGGGGCCAACCUAAACAAGACUUACAAAAAUAGAUAUUUGAAAUUUAAAUUUAUUAUUUAUAAAUCAUUAUUAAUAAAAUUAUAAUUUUUUGUUUAUCAUGAUUGCAUAGUUCAAAUGGAUUUAAUAAGAAAACUAAAAAAAAAUACAACCACUUUUUCACUUUUUGUGAAUUAUAUUUUAAAUUCAUUAUUCUUUCAAUUUAAAAUCUAACAAUUAUUAGGUUUAUAUAUAACUAACUCACUUCUUAAAUAUAUUUCAAUGUGCUUUUAAGGUUAAAAAAAAAUUAAGUAUUAAAAUUUUUAUUAUUGAAUUACAAUGGUUGAAAGUAUUUCCAAAAAUUUAAAUUUUGAAUUUAAUUGUUUUAGUAAAGAAAAAAAGUUUAAAAAUUAAGUAGUGAAGGAUUUAAUUUUGAAUUAUAAUUGCUAAAACUAUCUUUUAAAAUUUAAAAUUUUCAUUUCAUUUAUUUGACAAAGGAAAAAAAGGUUUCAAAACCAUCCAUUAUUCUUGCCAUAUUCAGUCACUAUUUGCUUAAGAACUACAAAUACGAUGUGAUAAAUCCACAUGUUAUAUGUUGUAUAUAAUUAAUUUAAAAUAACUUAUUUAAAUUUUUUAGUAUGUUAAUAUAACACUUACGGGGUGUUUGGUAAAAAUUAAUAUUUAUUAUUUAAUGACUUAAAUUGAUUUUAAAUUAAAUUAUAUUUAAGUUGUUAACUUAAAAAUUAUUACUUUAUUAUCACUUUAAGUAUCAAGGUUAUUUGAUAAAAAUAACUUAAAAUUUAUUCUAAAUCAUCAAAUUGACAUAUUCAUAAUUAUAAAUUAUAAUUAUGGUAAGGGAAGUCAAAUAACAAUGAAGAUCGUGGAAUAGCGAAAAAUAUCAUGAAGAUAACUGGGGCAAAUUGUGAUAAAAAAAUAAAAUGAAGAUGUAGAUUUAAGAAUAAUUUAAUUAUUUUUACUUAUUACCUAAAGUUAUUUUUUACUUUAAGUAAUGUCAUUAAGUUAUUUUAUUAGAUAUGCUUAAUUUACUUAAUGACUUAAAUUAAAUUAUUAAAUUAUUUUAAGUUAUUAAGUUGGUUUACCAAAUAUUUACUUACCUUAUCAUAAAAGGUCCAAUACAUAAAUUUUAUGAAUUUAUUUAUUCAAUUUUAGUAAAAUAAUUUUAAUUUUAUAUCUACAUAUUAUAAAAGAUGCAAAAUAAAGUUGAUAAUUUAACCUAAAGUCUACAAAAGAUGCAAAAUCCAAUUCAAAAGCCAACAAAAUUAGACCCAAAGAGCCUAUCUUUACCACUUUAGGGGUUGUGGAUAAAUGGGGAAGGAGGUAGGGAUGGUUUGGGGGUAGGCAUACAACCAAGUCAAAGUAGUUUAUAAUUGACUCUCAAAGGCAUUGUUAUCAUUUGGUUGAUAUAGGUCCAUGGCCUAUUUUUGGUUCACUCGAAACUUUAGCAACCAUCAUAAAAGGUGUGAUAUACAUGCACCCAUUUCAAGGGGGUGCUACACUUCUCAGUUUGGGCCUCAAAUUUACUUGAUAUGCCAUCGUUGUAUAGUGGCGCAAUGUUAUAUGUGAAUCCACUUUGGGAGGACAUCAUACAAAAGUUGUACAAAUUAGGACUUUAGUAUAGUUCUAUUUUGUUCAUCUAAUUGGAGAUUAUGUUACUUUUUGCUCUCUUUUUUAGCUUCUUAUCAUUCUUCUUGGACAUACGAUAAAGAUUGAAGAUGCAUGAAUCUCAAAAGGGAUUGAGUUUUAGAUGAAAAUGGCUCUCUUUGAAGGAAGAUUCUUUAGUUUUGUAAGCUAAAAUAGCUAGUUAAAGACAAUAUGUAAUAUCCCACAUCAAAUAAGGGAGAAAGUUUUCGACACUAUAUAUGUAUAAACUUAUUUUAACCUUGUAAACACGUUUUAGCCAAUCUUUGAUCCUAGUAUAAGGGUUUGUUUGGCCCUAUAAGGGGUGUGUCUAUUUGACCCCAUAAUACCAUAGGACACAAUAAAAACGUUGUAUUUGCAUGAGGAGUGAUAGUAAUAUCAUAUAUCGGAUGAAGGAAAAAGUUUCUAACGCUAUAUAUGUAUGAGUUCCUCUUAAUCUUGUAAAUGGUUUUUAAAGCUGUGAGGAUCUCCUUGGGUUUAGAAUGAAUAAUAUAUAUACGAUUGGGUGUAAAUCAUUACAUCAAAGACUAUGUUUUCAUAAACUUUGAGUCAAAGAGAGGCAAAUGCAAUAGAUAGGCUUCGAUCAUCAAUGAAGCAAAGAUCCCACUUCACGUGACUAGAGAGGUAGAUAAUGAACCCACAAUACUUUCAAUGAAAGAGAAGGUAGUAAUUAACUAGGUUCACCCAAUUUGGACAAGAAAAUGAAUAGUUAGUGUAGAGUAGGUUUGCAUGUUGGGCAUUCUUGGAAUCAUUGAUUUCCUCUAUGUUGAUAGAUCCUUUAUAUUUGACUUGAUGAAAUCACACUAUUGAGUGAACUUCUUUUUUAUGUUCCUCUUAAAAUUCCUAAUGUCUUUUACUUCAAUCUAAAAUGUAUUUUUUCAAUCACUUUGUUAUCAUUAUGAAAGUACAAUGAGAGAGUGAUUAUGGACCAUCCUGAUCUACGAAACCUUAGUGGAAGAAGAGGAGGGUUCACAUCACUUGCCAUAGUAUUAAGCUUGGAACCAAUCUCUACUUCUCAACUAUCCAACUUAUUUCUCUCAUGCCCCUUCCAUAUAAUAUUUGUCAAGUUGACUUUCUUACUAAGUUACCAAAUAAGAUAAUUUGUAAAGUUCUACUAAGUUAUUAAAUAAGACAAUUUGUAAAGUUGCAUUACAAAGUAAUUGGAAAACAAAGAUAUGGGUGAACCUACUAUAGUACCUUUUGUGCAAGACAACAUACACAUGCAUAUCAUAUCGAAUAUGAAUCUUUAAUAUGUAUGUCUAAAUUUGAGUGGUUGAAUGGACUACAUAGAAAAGAGAGAGAGACUAAGACAUAAAGAAAUCAAACCAAUAUUAAAAAAAAAAAUUAAAAUUUAAAAUCUCUAUUAAAAAAUAAAACCUAUAAAACAAGGGUAUUAUUUUUUAUACUGCUGAAAAAAGCUCCUUGGAUUACCUUUGCUUUGCUUGCUUUCCCAUCCUUUGUUUCUAUGUGUGUCGAGAGGGUCAACAAAAUUGGAGCUUGGAAAUGCCAAUUUUACCCUAGAGCAAGCAUUAAACAGGUGGCGGUAGAAGCGUACAAGAACCGGAAUCGUCUUCACCCAGAAAUUGCUUUAAGCCACCUAAUGCCAAUUUUACCCUAAAGCAAGCAUUAAACACGUGCCGUUAGAAGCGUACAAAGCCGGAGUCGUCUUCACCAUUGGGAUCCAUAUCUUUCACUAGGCAGGACUUAGGACUAUUGUGGGCGCCUAUUUUGGGAUAUAUAAAAUAGAAGAGAAAACACGUGAGGAAAAAUCACCCACUGGGAGUUAGGGAGUUAGUACCGUAACUGUAAUUAAUAACGGCGGUCCCAACAGAAUAUUCUGCCCUCAUCCGAGUUCAUUGUCUCACCAACUCAGUUGCUUGGAAGCCAAGUUUCCGAGUUCACCCCCCACUGCUUCGCCUACAUAUUCUUCUCUUCACUCCCCUCUCUUUCAGAGAUCCAGAGCUCAAUCUUGUGAUUUGGCUCUUUCUUUUGGGUUUUCGUUCUCUGUUUCUCCCUUCUUCUUCUCCAAAGGGGUUCGCCUCUCGAUCCUCUGUUUCUUGGUUUCCAUCCCCUCUGUUCUUUACUCUUUACUCCCUACUCCUCCUCUCUACGCCCUCUUCUCUAUCUUCACCAGGGGAUCGCGAAGUUAAUCGUCGGAUUCGCUUUCUUCCUGGGGUUUCAAAUUUUCUAUCCCCUGUUUUUGGUGUCUUCUCCUCCUCACUCCAUUGAGUGGUUUUCUCUGUUUCCUGGGUUACAUCCCCUGUUUUCCCCUAAUGCCAAUUUUACCCUAAAGCAAGCAUUAAACGCGUGCCGUUAGAAGCGUACAAAGCCGGAAUCGUCUUCACCAUUGGGAUCCAUAUCUUUCACUAGGCAGGACUUAGGAGUAUUGUGGGCGCCUGUUUUGGGACAUAUAUAGCGCACCAAACACCCUCGAGGAUCAUCCCCCGUUUCCAAAGGAUUCCACGCCUCAAUCCCUGUUUCUUUCUGCUCUGUUUCUUCAGCAAUGGAAACUGCAGUCUCCAGUAAUCCCAAUUACAAUCCAGGAAGACACCUCCCUCCUCGACAGAGAGGAGGGAUCAAAAAACAGAUAUUCAAAGACUUUCUUAAAUAUGUUAGUGCCAUCGCGCUUUUACUGGGCCAGAUGGAAGCAAAUCAAGGGGAUAGUGGCGGUCGUCGCCUUAGCUCCGCCUCCGCACCUCUUCCUGAAAUCCCUCCUGGCUACACUUCAGAUCUGAGGCGUUGAUUCAUUAAAUUAGAUUUGGCGAUGGUUGUCUUUUGAUAUAUGCUUGGAUGCCGAGAAAAUUUCACAUGUCAUUCCAAUUUCUCCCUUCCUUCAGUUUGACAGAACUGAGGAAAGGCGAUCGACGAUCGACGAUCGGAAACGUUAUGAUUGGGUACUGUCCUCCAUGCCUGUGUAUAUAAAUCCAGAAAUCUUCUUGUAGAAACUUUGUAUUUUCACUUUGUACAUACUUCGUUAAUAAAGUGGAAUGAAUCAAUCAAUGUAUUAUUGAUUUCUGGACUUCUGUGAUAUGAAAUGCGUCCAUGAAUUUGCAAAUGAAUCCGAAGAUCAUCUAUGCCACCGCCUCCUUCACUCUUCCAAAUUGUUUUCGCUUUAUAAUUGUGCAUAAUUCAGUUUUGAGCUGCCGUUGGUUGCCAAAAUCUCGUAGGGACACUUUCAAUUAUUCACUGAAUCAUCCAUGGUUCUUGCUAUCUCAGAUUGAAUUUUUUUUUCCCUUUUAGGGAAAUGCAUUUAUGUUUCUUAAAUUCUUUUGCAUAUAGGUUAAAGAUUUAUUUAUUUUCAAUUAGAAGUGUAAUGACUCCGAAGUUCCUUCCAAAUAUCUGGAACCCAACUGAAAAUUGCAAUGUUUGGAGAAUAAAACCCCAUCUAACUGGGGGAAUUUUCGUGGAAGAUUAAAAAAUAAAUAAAUUUUUGAAAUUUUUUUAAAUAUAUAUAUAUAAAAUGAAAUCCAAGUUGCGAAAUUCAGCCUUCUAGAAUGAUAUUUCUUUGUUGUUAAGUAAAGUAUAAAAUGGGUUGUAACUGGAUUUUUUUUACUUCGGAAGAUGACGAACAACAUGUGUCAUAAUAAAAAAAGACCCUCUUGUCCUUUGUGGUUGAAUCCUGUUGGGGGCUGAGUUCAGUCCAUCCCAAUCAUAAGUUGUCUUUUUGGGAAAUCCAAAGAAAAUUUAUAACUUUACGUUAAAAGUAAAAAAAUUAAAAACCAACAAUUCUCUUCUCUUUGAAUGUAGGCACUUUAAAUAAGGCUUCUCUGGAGACUUUAAGUUAAUGAAGACAAAGAAUAUAGAAGUUAAAUGAUCAAAGCUAAAUUAAUUUUACAUUCCUACACACCCUACAAACACAAUGGUCACGGCUCAUAAAUUUUUUUUCCCAAAUUGAAGAGUAUAAUAAUUUUUAUAAAAUUUUCCAAGCGAGGGAAUUUGAUUCAAAAAGCGGUGAUUAAUGAAAAAGGAUCAUAUAACAAAAAAAAAAAAAGUCAAUUUAUUAGUGCCUUGAGUAAAAUAUUUCAAUUUGAAGAGAAAACACGUGAGGAAAAAUCACCCACUGGGAAGUUAGGGAGUUAGGGAGUUAGUACCGUAACUGUAAUGAAUUACGGCGGUCCACACAGAAUAUUCUGCCCUCAUGACUCAUCCGAGUUCAUUGUCUCACCAAGUCAGUUGCUUGGAAGCCAAGUUUCCGAGUUCAGCCCACUGCUUGGCCUACAUAUUCUUCUCUUCACUCACCUCUCUUUCAGAGAUCCACAGCUCAAUCUUGUGAUUUUGCUCUUUCUUUUGGGUUUUCGUUCUCCAUUUCUCCCUUCUUCUCCGAAGGGGUUCGCCUCUCGAUCCUCUGUUCUUUACUCUUUACUCCCUACUUCUCCUCUCUACGCCCUCUUCUCUCUCUUCACCGAGGGAUCGCGAAGUUAAUCGUCGGAUUCGCUUUCUUCCUGGGGUUUCAAAAUUUCUAUCCCCUGUUUUUGGUGUCUUCUCCUCCUCACUCCAUUCAGUGGUUUUCUAUGUUUCCUGGGUUUCAUCCCCUGUUUUCCCCUAAUGCCAAUUUUACCCUAAAGCAAGCAUUAAACGCGUGCCGUUAGAAUCGUACAAAGCCAGAAUCGUCUUCACCAUUGGGAUCCAUAUCUUUCACUAGGCAGGACUUAGGAGUAUUGUGGGCGCCUGUUUUGGGAUAUAUAUAGCGCACCAAACACCCUCGAGGAUCAUCCCCCAUUUCCAAAGGAUUCCACGCCUCAAUCCCUGUUUCUUUCUGCUCUGUUUCUUCAGCAAUGGAAACUGCAGUCUCCAGUAAUCCCAAUUACAAUCCAGGAAGACACCUCCCUCCUCAACAGAGAGGAGGGAUCAAAAAACAGAUAUUCAGAGACUUUCUCAAAUAUGUUAGUGCCAUCGCGCUUUUACUGGGCCAGAUGGAAGCAAAUCAAGGGGAUAGUGGCGGCCGUCGCGUUAGCUCCGCCUCCGCACCUCUUCCUGAAAUCCCUACUGGCUACACUUCAGAUCUGAGGCGUUGAUUCGUUAAUUAGAUUUGGCGAUGGCUGUCUUUUGAUAUAUGCUUGGAUGCCGAGAAAAUUUCACAUUUCAUUCCAAUUUCAUUCCAAUUUCUCCCUUCCUUCAGUUUGACAGAACUGAGGAAAGUCGAUCGACGAUCGACGAUCGGAAGCGUUAUGAUUGGGUACUGUCCUCCCCUGUAUAUAAAUCCAGAAAUCUUCUUGUAGAAACUUUGUACUUUCACUUUGUACAUACUUCGUUAAUAAAGUGGAAUGAAUCAAUCAAUGUAUUAUUGAUUUCUGGAUUACUGUGAUAUGAAAUGCGUCCAUGAAUUUGCAAAUGAAUCCGAAGAUCAUCUAUGCCACCGCCUCCUUCACUCUUCCAAAUUGUUUUCGCUUUAUAAUUGUGCAUAAUUCAGUUUUGUGCUGCCGUUGGUUGCCAAAAUCUCGUAGGGACACUUUCAAUUAUGCACUGAAUCAUCCAUGGAAUCCACCAAACCGGCAAUUCCUAUACAUGGUUCUUGCUAUCUCAGAUUGAAAUUUUUUUUUUCCCUUUGAGGGAAAUGCAUUUAUGUUUCUUAAAUUCUUUUGCAUAUAGGUUAAAGAUUUAUUUAUUUUCAAUUAGAAGUGUAAUGACUCCGAAGUUCCUUCCAAGUAUCUGGAACCCAACUGAAAAUUGCAAUGUUUGGAGAAUAAAAUCGCAUCUAACUGGGGGAAUUUUCGUGGAAGAUUAAAAAAUAAAUAAAAUUUUGAAUUUUUUUAAUAUAUGUAUAUAUAUAUAUAUAUAAAAUGAAACCCACGUUGCGAAAUUCAGCCUUCUAGAAUGAUAUUUCUUUGUUGUUAAGUAAAGUAUAAAAUGGGUUGUAACUGGAAAUGUUAUUUUAUUUUAUUUUUAUAGGCGUUACUCAUUUUUAUUUUAUUUUUUUUUACUUCAGAAGAUGACGAACAACAUGUGUCAUAAUAAAAAUACCCUUUUGUCCUUUGUGGUUGAAUCCUGUUGGGGGCUGAGUUCAGUCCAUCCCAAUCAUAAGUUGUCUUUUUGGGAAAUCCAAAGAAAAUUUAAAACUUUAUGUUAAAGUAAAAAAAUUAAAAACCAACAAUUCUCUUCUCUUUGAAUGUCGGCAUUUUAAAUGAGGCUUCUCUCGUGACUUUAAGUUAAUGAAGACAAAGAAUAUAGAAGUUAAAUGAUCAAAGCUAAAUUAAUUUUACAUUCCUACACACCCUACAAAACAAUGGUCACGGCUCUUAAAUUUUUUUUCCCAAAUUGAAGGGUAUAUUAAUUUUUAAAAUUUUUUCCAAGUGAGGGAAUUUGAUUCAAAAAGCGGUGAUUAAUGAAAAAGGAUCAUAUAACAAAAAAAAAAAAAAAAGUCAAUUUAUUAGUGCCUUGAGUAAAAUAUUUAAAUUUGAAGAGAAAACACGUGAGGAAAAAUCACCCACUGGCAGUUAGGGAGUUAGUACUGUAACUGUAAUGAAUUACGGCGGUCACACAGAAUAUUCUGCCCUCAUCCGAGUUCAUUGUCUCACCAACUCAGCUGCUUGGAAGCCAAGUUUCUGAGUUCAGCCCCACUGCUUGACCUAUAUAUUCUUCUCUUCACUCACCUCUCUUUCAGAGAUCCAGAGCUCAAUCUUGUGAUUUUGCUCUUUCUUUUGGGUUUUCGUUCUCUAUUUCUCCCUUCUUCUUCUCCGAAGGGGUUCGCCUCUCGAUCCUCUGUUUCUUGGUUUCCAUCCCUCUGUUCUUUACUCUUUACUCCCUACUCCUCCUCUCUACGCCCUCUUCUUUCUCUUCACCGAGGGAUCGCGAAUUUAAUCGUCGGAUUCGCUUUCUUCCUGGGGUUUCAAAAUUUCUAUCCCCUGUUUUUGGUGUCUUCUCCCUACUCCAUUCAGUGGUUUUCUCUGUUUCCUGGGUUCCAUCCCCUGUUUUCCCCUAUCUUUUAUUUAGCUUCGAAACUGUUCAAACCCAUCUCCUGCAAAUGGAUACUCCAGUGUCUAUUUCCAAAGACAGACCAGAACGACGCUUCCCUCCACCUAGAGGACGAGUCAAAAAAGAAAUUUUCAAAAGCCUGGUGAAAUCUUUCGGCACAGUUGCAGGAAGGGCGAGUGGGGCGAUAAGGAAGCGAGAAGAAAAUGGUGGUCGGCUCAGCUCGACCUCCACUACUCCCGCUGAAACUCCCAGUGGAUACAGCUCAGAUGGGUAGUCUUGAUCCACUGAAUUCAUAUUUCUCAACUCCCCUGUACAGUUGGUGAACGCUGACCUGCGAUGCUAUUUGGAUUCCUAGAAAGUGUUUCAUUUUUUCAUUUUCUUGUUCCUUUUCUUUCGAUGGAAAGAGAAGAGGCGUUGAAGAUUGGAAUUCUCUGUUGAUUGUUGUAAUAUAAAAAUAAAAUCAUGAGCCCAGAGAUGUUCUCAUCUGUAAACAUAUGAUUCUGGUGUUCCGAGCCUGUGUCAUUUUAGCAAAUUUUGGAACAAUAUUAAUUCAUGGAAAUGUGACGAGAAUGAUGAUUUGUUCUCCCAGUUUUCUCAAACACUUGCUACAUUUUUUUUUUUCUCAGAUUCUCUGUUCUUCAUUGAAAGCAGAGGAAAAUAAGUUCAUAUCUACUAGGAUAGAUCUUGAAGAUAAUGCAUAUAAUUCAGAUCAUGGGGUCUGUUUGGAUCGGAUGAUUUUCGAUUCUCUUGAAAAUUUGAACUCCUAAAUCGCCAAUCUCCCUACAGCAACAUUUGGUUUAAGUUCUCUGUUUAAGUCAAUACAAGAACAAUAUUUUGCUAUUCGGUCAGGUAUUUUAAAACCUAUUUGAUUUGAUUUGUAUACGCCUUUUGGAAGGUCCCUUUCCUUCAUUCUUAUACACAAUCUUUUAUUAGGUUCUAAUAAUUAAAAUAAUUUGAUUAUGAUUAAUUUAAGCAUGGAAGUUAGGGUUAUGAAAAAAGAUAAUGUAUUUUAAGUUUCAAGAAUGGGCAUCAUUAAGAAAAUAACAAAGAGAGUGAGUCAGUUGAGGGCGGCCCAGCCGAGGGUGGCCCAGCCUUUUGGGCACAGGUUACCAUGCAAUACUAGGCUGGGGACGCCUGCAGUGAAUAAAUUAUAUCAUCUCAGUCCCAUGUGACUUCAACACGGUCUCCCUCAAGACUCUCAAUAAGUCAUCCUUACGUGAAUUUGUUAGUUGAAUAAUUUGAGAAAAAAAAUAUUAAAAAAAAAGGAGAAAAAUAGGGGGAAAUAAAAUAUAUAUAUUUAAGUCAUCCUUACAUAUUUAUUUUUUAUUUUUUAAAAAUAAAUAUGUAUGAACGGUCAUAUCAUAGCCUCUUGUAACUCAAUAAGUUGUUGGUAACAAUUCUUGUAAUAAUUAUAGUAGGCUAAAAUUGAUGUAUUAAUGUAUAUUUUUUAUUUUGUUUUUUAAGGUUUGCUUGAUAGUAAUUUUAUAAAAUGUUUUUAACUUUUUUUAACAUUUAAGAAAUAUUUAUUUUUUUAAGUGUUAGAAACAAAUUCAAGUGCUAAAAAAAAUUAAAAACAUUUUCUAGAAUUAUUGACAAAUAGACUACUACUAUGCUAAAAAUUUCAAAAUAUCGUGAUAAAACCAUUUUUUAAAAUUAUUGUUAAAUAGAUUUUAUAUCAUUACAUGUAUUUUAAUUUUAAUAAUAUGUUAUAUUAAUGUCUAAGUUGGUAAUUAUGUGUUGUAUUAAAAUUAGUGAGAAACUUAUAUAUAUUAAAAUUAUUUCAUCACUAUAUCGAAAAAAAUAAAUUAAAUUAAAUCAUUUUAAAAUAAUAUAUAAAAAUAAUUUAUUGAUUUUUUUUAAAAAAAUUUCUCUCUCCUUUUUUCUUGUAUUUUCUCUCAAAUUUUUUAAAAAUCAAACAUUGCCUUAAUUACAUAAUAAAGAAUCUCAGAACAUAAAAAUAUUUUUAAAUGUUAAUAUUUUUAUCAUCACUAAAAUUGAUAGUUACUCCAUAGAAGUCAGCCUUCCAGAAUAUGGAAGCUGGUGUUCCUUGGUCCUUAAGCGAAAAGGAUGUCUGUGGUAUUUUACCACAAGGAAUAGAAUAUGAUUGGACUAGAUUUGGCCUUCAGUUUCUUUUGACUGACCAUAUCUAGAAUCGAAAUCCUAGCUGGCAACAAAAGACACAUUGACUGAGUCAAGCUAAACCUUCUUUAUUGACUCAACAACAACUCUCGAUAAAAAGAAUCACUGUAAGAUGAUAUUUUACAAUUGGGUCAAAGCUAAUGUUUGUUUAGGAUAAAAAAAUAGACACUACCCUACCCUUUUCCUUCCUUGGUUGAUAGAAAAUAAUAUGGGAGUGAAAGGCAUUGUAAGGUAGACCUUUUUGAUAGGUUACGAAAAGGCAUCCCUAAUAAAAUGUGUUAACUGGUUUCAUAAUUUUAUAUCUGAAUCUUAAUCAUUUGAAUUUUAUAUAUGUCCUAAUAUUUUAUGCCUGGAUGACAAUUUCGAAACGGGUCGUUCUCAUCUCAACUUUGCCUAUUUAAUUCUUUAAAAAAAAAUUAUUUUUAAAAUUUUAAAUUAUAUUAAAAUAAAUAUAUUUUAUAAAUAAUUAAAAUAUUAUAAUUUUUUAUAACUUAUUUUAUUAGAAAAAAUUAUUAUUAUUAUAUAUUAAAAAUAGAAAAAUUUAAAAAUUAUUGGAUUUAUCAAAAUUCUAAAGGCUUGAUUUCAUAUUGCUAAAAAUUUUAGAAAAAAUAUAGAUAUGUAAAGGAAAAGUACUGAUCAUGAUUCAUUCAAAACUAGUUUUGUUCUUCUUUUUUUUUGUUUUAAUUGGUUUUAUUUUUUAGUUUUAAAUUAUUUUUAAAAAUUACUAAAUUCAUUUAAAAUAAAUUCAAUGCAUUAAGUUUUGCUCAAUUUGAAGUUCAUUUGCUAGUAAAAAAAAUCUUAAAAUAUAAUCAUGUUUAAAAAAGAAAUAACAAACUCUUUUUGUACUAGUUUUAGUUUGUGAAUUUUUUUAUACUAACCGGGUUUUUAAGUUUCAAAUUAGUUUUUAUAUAAACUUGUAAACAAAUACAAUGCAUUAAAUCUUAAUAAUUUAUUUUAGACAAAAUUUUUGUCUAUUAAUGUUUAUGUGAACUCGCAUUUUUCAAAUGCACUCCCAAUCAAUGCCAAGACUAGUUUUUAUUGUGAAAAAACAUUUUUAAAAGAAAAUAAAAAUAAAGUUAUUACUUAUUUUUGUGUGUUUUUUUUAAGGAAAAUAAAAUAAAAUAAGAAAUAAAAUCUUAAAGUGUUUACUUUAAAAAGGAAAAACAUGCCUAUAAAAAUCGAGUUUAAGCCUAAGAGUUAGCUUACUUAUUGAAAAGGAACUAGAGGGUAAUAUCCCUCUAAACCCCUAAAAAUGUCUCUUUUAAACAAGCAAACAAAAUUAUAACGAUCAAUUAAUCACAAAUAUCAAUAAAAAGUAUGAGACAAGUACAUACAAACAAGAUAAGAUGAAAAACAAAUUAUAAUGAUAUAAAACAUUGGCAAAGGGAUUGCACAAAUUAACUUAUUAGACUUUUUUUUUAAAUGAUUAUUUUCAAAUAUUACAAGAUUUGCAAAGAAGAACUUUAUUCACUAAAAUCAAUUUCUAGUUAAUGAUUUCAAUUUAUUUAUUCACAAAAAAAAUUGAUUUUUAUUUUGGUUCAAAUUUGUUUCCAAAAUGACGUUUCCUUACUUUUAUUGAAAGAGUUUAUUAAGAGUCUAUAUAAUACAAUAACUUAGUAAAUUAUAACAACUUGAUAGUCUUAUAUCAAAAUUCACAGUAGGUCUAGUCUAAUGUGUAACUAUACACACUAGUGCACUCACAAUGAGAAAUUUAUCCCAACGGUCAAGACAAGUCAUUCAUUUAAUUUGGAUGUAAUGCAUUACAGUUUCUAUAGAAUUGCUCAAAUUUAUAAACUGGCCAUGAAUUACUUAUCAUUUUGCAAAGAACUCAUGAUUUAUAUCUUUUAUGCAACUUUUAAUACAUGCAAGUCAUAUACAAUACAAGUGAAACGAGCAUACUCAAAUCAAAAUCAAUGCAAAAAGCAAAUAGAAAGUCAAGUCUAAUUUUAUUACAUCAUAUCUUAUUUUUAAGGGUUUUAUCCCAACACUUGAAGCCUUCAAAGAUUCAUAACAACCUUGUUGACGAUUCAAGACCUAGCUUGAAAAUUCAAAAUCACUCUUGAGAAGAGUUGGAGAGACCACCUACAAGAUUCAAAAUGCACUUCAAGCCUUCAAAGAUUUAUAAGCUCUUCAAACUUUCAAAGAUUAAAGAACAAGUUUGAAGGUCUAAAAAACAAGUUUGAAAAGAUUCAAAAAAACUCUUCAAGCACUUGAAAAUUAAAGAACAAGUUUGAAGGUCCAAAAAAACAAGUUCAAAAUAUCUUCAAUUUGAGAUCAAAUAUUCAUGCCCUCACUUAACAUCAUUCAAGUCCAGCCAAGUUCUAGGCCUAAGCCAAGUUAACAUAAAAAGUCUAUGUCCAGGCUUAAGCCCAAGUCACUCAACUCAAAUCUAAAAUGAAAAAUUCAAGCCCUCACGUAACAUUGUUUAAGUCAAGCAAAGGCUCAGCCGCUCAAGUCCUACCAUGGCCUAAGUUGACUAAGCCACAUCAAGGAUCAAAUCAAGUUAAAGCCCAAGACCACCAAGGUCCAAUCCACGCUAAGGUUGAAACAAGUCAAGGCCCAAAACAUUCCUAAUCAUGGAGAUGAUGGUCAAUGUUGAGAUCAUCAUCUCCAUAUUCAUGAUGGCCAGACCUUCCUCCAUUCACAAUAUCAAUUACUAAUUUAUUUUUUUAAAAUGGGCAUUUCAACUGGGACGAAGACAAUAAAUUACCAUUAUAUCCAAAUAUAAAAAAAAAAUACAUUCUUUAUAUAAGAUAAUGUAUUCUAAAAUUCAACAAUGGGCUGGCCUCCAUUAUGAAAAUGAAAAUGAGAUGGAGCGUGUCAGUCAGUUGUGGCCAGCCCAACAUUAUAUUGGACUGGGCCGCUCCGAUAUUGUAUGGAGACCUCCAAGCAAAGAGUACAUCCCCUCAUUUACAUGUAACUCCUACACGAUCGUCACAAGUCAGAAAGGUAAGAGUUUUUAUAAAUUCAUUUUAUUCCUUUAUUUUCGAGUGGGGAUAUAUUCAAUCGCACGUAUAUUUGGCAACAAAAGACAUGGUAACAAAAUUUUAAUGUAUUGAUUGGGUAUUUAUCCAACUUGUAAUAUCGAUUAUUGAAAGUGAACAAUUAAAUAGGAGUUGUCUAGUGAAACUUAAAACAAAUGGAAUCUUAUUAUAAUCUACUGUUAAAUAAGAGUAUGUUUAAUAUUGAUUUUAUAAAAUGUUUUUGGCAUUCCUAAUUAUUGGAAGAUAAAAAUUUUCAAGUGUAAAAAAUAUUAGAAAUGCUUUUUAAAAUCAGUAUCAAACGCACUCUAGUUCAAUAAAAAGAAUCUCCUUUAAUAAUAUUUCAUAAUUUGAUCAAAAUGAAUGAUGCUAUGAAAGAAAAUAGAAAGAAGAUGAUAAUCAUAAAAGUAAAAAAUUGAUUAAAAGCUUAUAAUACAACAGAGCAUCGGAGGAACAAAUAUUUGAUAAAAAGUGUUUCUACUAUCAACUACAUGGAUGAUAAAGAGAUUAAGAGUAUGUUGGGCAUUAAUUUUAAAAAGUGUUUCUAACUUUUCCAAUGUUUGGAAAAUAAAAAAAUUUAAAUGCUAGAAAAGUUAAAAAUAUUUUCUAGAAUCAUUAUCAAACAUACUCUAAGAGUCUGUUUGAUAAUGAUUUUUUGAAACGUUUCUAAUUCUUCUAAUAUUUAAAAGAUAAAAAAAUUUAAGUGCUAAAAAGGUUAAAAGCACUUCCUAAAAUUACUAUCAAACAUACAUUAAACGUGCAUUUGAUAGUAAUUUUAGAAAGUAUUUAUAUUAUUUUUAAUACUUGAAAAUAAAAAUUUUCAAGUAUUAUAAAUAUUAGAAACAUUUCAUACAAUCACCGCUAAACGCACUCUUAGAGUACGUUUCUAGCCUUUAUGACACUUUGAAAUUUUCAUCAUUCAAGUAUUAAAAAUAUUAUAAAUAUUUCUCAUAAUUACUGUUAAACGUAUUUUAAGAGUGUGUUUGACAAUGUUUUUAAUCGAAGUAUUUUUGGAACUAUUUUCUCUUAAAGUGUUUUUAGGACAAUUAUCUUUAAGUGUUUCUCCAUAAAACACUAUAAAUGAUUUUUUAAUUAUAUGAAAAAAAAAGUCAAAAUUUUAAAAAUGUUUCUUAAAUGAAACACUUGAUUUUAAAAAAAAACCAAUAAAACACUUUUUAGGUUAAUAAUGUUUUUCAAAAACAAUGUCAAAAGUACUCUAAAAUUGAGAUAGUACGAAAUUGGAAAAAUAUAUUCAAGUUUGACUUUUUCACAUGAGAAAAUUAAUUUUCAAAGAAUAAAUUUAUGAUUCUGGGACUCGAUCGAUCUUUUUAGAAAUUGAAUAAAUGAAACUUAGAACCCAUUUGAUAGUGAAUUUAGGAAACACUUCCAAUAGUUUUAACCCUUGAAAAAAAUUAUCAUUCAAGUGUUAGAAAUAUUGGAAAUGUUUUCUAAAAUUAGUACCAAAUCCACUCUUAAUUAAAGGAUGUAAUAUAAAUGAAUAAAAUGAAGCUACAUUAUACUCUCAUGUAUAAGUGGAUUAAUAAAAAGACACUAUGUACACCCUUAAUUUAUCCUUUUAGAGAAGCAUACUGCUGCAAUAAUACAUAUACAACCAAAGCAGUAAAUCAGGCUCAACAGUAUCUGUGUGGAUCUUGUCUCAAUGGACCUUUAACUCUUACCGUCAAAUAAAGUUUCUUGAUCACCAUUAAAAUGCAUGAAGUGUAAUUAAACUUUCUAAGCCCUACUCUCAAGUAAGUGUGAAAUUUUUUAGCACUAUGUCAUUAGCAAGCUUUAAGGGAUGAGUAAGCAAUCUUUUGCACGAUGAUAAUAUCCUUAAAUGACUUGUACUAGUUGAGAAAUUUGGGUACUACUUGCUAUUUGCUAAGUAGGUGAAAGCUUUAAUUCUAAUAUAUAAUAUAUUAGUGCAAGAACAUAAAAAUAAAAUUAUUCACGUGGCUGGAUCAAUUAUACUCAUAUAAAUGAAAAUUAAUCAUUUUACUAUGUGAUAAAAUAAACAUAUACAAUUAUUGAAUUUUAAAACAUCUCAUGCUCUCAUACUUUUUGUAUUUAUAUCCUAAAUUGAGAGGUCUUAUUUUAUUAGGUGUCUCAUACUUCCCCACAUCUAUAUUUAUUUAGUAUAAACUUUAUAUGACCGUUUUCAUAUCAUUACUUUUUUCUACUCAUUACUUCAAAUAUAUAAAUAUAGAAAUCGUCUAGAAAGGUUGUGUUCACUUUGUACAUACUUCAUUAACAAGGUGGAAUGAAUCAAUCAAUGUAUUAUUGAUUUCUAUGCCUUCCCCCCGGGCUUCAAUCUUCCAAAUUGUUUUUGCUUUAUAAUUGUGCAUAAUUCAAUUUUGUGUCAUCUCUGGUUAACAAAAUCUCGUAGGGACACUUUCAAUUAUUCAUUGAAUCAUCCAUGGAAUGAGAAUUGUACUUCGAGGUAAGAUGGACCUAAAAAGUGACCCAAGGUUCCUCUAUCACCUAUAAUUAAUUUUAAGGAUAUAAAAUGGUGAUAGACUAAAAUGCUCAUUUAACUCAUCACAUGCUUGUGCUGAUUUUUGUGGAACUCAUGAUUUAUUGAAUUCUUUUAUCUUUAUUGCAUCUCAAUUCACAUACCCAGGACAAUUCUAUUUUAACCGUUUGGAUUUUUCACUAUUUUUUAAAACUUUUUUUUAUAAAUAAUUGAAAAUUAGCAUUGUUUUCUAUUUUAAAUUACAAAUAAAGAAAAAUUAAAUCAAUGACUCAAAAACCAUUUUAAAAAAUACUUUCUAAAAAAAAUAUGGUAAUAAGAUUUUUAUUUUUUAUAUUUUCCUUUUGAAAAUAUGUUUAAUUGAUAAUGAAAACUAUUUUUAAAAAUGAAAAUUGAAAACCUUGUUUAGUACUAUUUUUUUCAUAUGAAAAUAAUAAAAAGAAUUAAAUUCCAUUUAUUGAUUAUCCAUUUUUAUUUUCUCCAUUAGUUAUUUUAAUAAUAAAAUAAAAAUAUAUAUAGUAUGUUCACAAUUAAACAAAGAAAUUGGUCAAUUGUGUGUUUUUUUGUGUGACUAUUUUUUACAUGAAAAAAUUAAAUAACUAAAUUAUAUAUAUUUAUUACUCUUUUUAAUUUUAUUUCCUCUAUUAGUGUUUUUUUUUUUUUGUGUAAUAGAAAAUUUUAAUAUAUCCAUAAUUAACAAAGUAAUAGAUUAAUUGUGUACAUUUUAAUCUAUUAAAAUAAAUUAUUUUCUAAUUUAAAUAAAUAAAAUGAAAUAAGUAAAUAAAUUUGGGGUUAUUUCUAUUUUCUAACAUAUCUAAUAUUAAUAUUUUUUUAGGGAAAAGUGGAAUUUGAUUUACUAAUNNNNNNNNNNNNNNNNNNNNNNNNNNNNNNNNNNNNNNNNNNNNNNNNNNNNNNNNNNNNNNNNNNNNNNNNNNNNNNNNNNNNNNNNNNNNNNNNNNNNUAGGGAAAAGUGGAAUUUGAUUUACUAAUAUGAAAAUAUCUUGAAAAAAGAACCUCAAAUAUUUUAAAUUAGUAUUAUUUUCAUCUAUUUAAAAAUAAUUUGAAAUCCAUGCACUUUUUAAUAAGUUGUACAAUUAUUCCCAAAAAUGUUCAUUUACUUAUCAUAUCAUCAAAAUCAAUUGAUAACUAAACUCUUUCACGUAAAUGUUUCCUUUCUUUAAGAUUUUAUUAUUAUUAUUAUUAUUAUUAUUAUUAUUAUUUUAUUAUUUAGGAAUUUUUUUUCUCUAGAAACAUUAUUAAGAAUUUGAAAAAAAAAAAUUAUUCUAGUAUUAAUAAGUUAAAAAUAAAUUCAUAUUCUUGACAAUAAAUAAACCAAUAAUAAAUUUUUAUUUAUUAUAUAAUAUUAAUAAUUUUAAAAUAUAAUAGCGAAUAAAAUUUAUUGUAAGAGUUUUUCAGAUAUAAAAUGUUUUACAAUAUGGUUGUAUUUUGAUAUAUAGUAUAAAAAUAAAUAAAUAAAUAAUGAUUUCUUAUUAAAUAGAUUAAUCAUAAUUAAAAUAAUGAUAUAUUACUAAAUUUAUUAUUUAUUAUUUAAUAAACAACCUUAUUACUUUUUGAAUUGGUAAUUAUGAUUAAAUAGGAUUUGUUUGACAAUAUGUUCUCUUAAAAUUCUAAGAAAUAAAAAAAUAUUAAUCCUAUUUAAAUAGGAUUUUUUUGGCAUAAUAUUUCCUAAUCUUUUAAGAAACUAGAAUAAGAAUCCUACGAGGUGUUUGUUUCUAGAGAAAAAAAAUCAAAAUAAUAAAAUAAUGAUAAUAAUAAUAAAUAAAUAAAAUAUAUAUAUAUAUAUACACAUAUAUAUGUAAAAAGAAGGGAAACAUCUAUACGGAGGAGUCUAGUUAUCAAUUGAUUUGAAUGAUAUGACAAGUAAAUGAGUAUUUUUUGGAAUAAUUGGAUGACUCGUUAAAAAGUACAUAUAUUUCAAAUUAUUUUUAAAUAAAUGAAUAUAAUACUAAUUUAAAAUUUUUGGGUUCUUUUUUCCAUUUUCAUAUUAGUAAGUCAAAUCCCACUUUUUUUUUUUUUUUUCCUGUCAUCCAAGAAAUACACACUCUCCUAUCAUAAAUUCUUUCAUUUCAUAUACUUUAUUUAAUUCGUAUAUACAAAUCAAAACUUACCUCAAUAAUGAUGUUUGAAGAAAAAUUUUGUUUUUACAUUUUACGUUCACACAUUCUAUGUAGACACAUAAUGUAUGCAUGUAAAUGAAAUUUGUAUCAUUGUACAAGUGUGUUAUACUAAUUGUACAAGGGGUGUACAAAGUUAUCAUUUGUGAAGGAUUUCAAUCGAUUUUGGACAACCUUUUUUUUUUUUUUUUUUUGUCUUGUCAUCUAAGGAUUGCACUCUCAUGGCAUACAUUCCUCUAUCAUACACUUAUCUUAUGAACUUUAUUUAACUCACAUGCGACAAUUCAAAUACUUAUCCCACUAAUGACGCUUGAAGCAAAAUUUUGUUUUUAUGUCUUCCAUUAUUUUGUGAUCCAAACCAAUAAAAACAUGGUUAACCUAUCUAUGAACACAUAUUGAGUAGGGAGUAUAUGGAAUUUGGGCCACUAUACAAGAUAUUUAUACUAAGUGUAUAAGACAAAAAUAUUAAUUAUAUUAUGGUGUACAAGACCGUUAUUUGUAAAAAAAUUUAUGUGAUUUUGAAAAACUCAUUUGUUUAUUUCCCAUAACCAAUGAUAAAUGACAUUCCUCACACACAUUGAUUAAGCAUAUAUUAAUUUUAUGCAUUUUAUUAUAUGGUCAUUUGAAUACUUAUCUCACUAAUUAUAAUUAUAUAACAAAAUUGUACAACAAUUUUUCCUUUUUUUUUAAAACUAAACCAAUGCAAACAUAAUUAAUCAAUCCAUUGUCAAAUAUUCAUGAGACGAUGUAUGAAAUUUGAGUUAUUGUAUAAAUGCAUUACACUAGUUGUAUAAGACAAUUUUACUAAUUGUAUAAGGGUAUGCAUGAUUGCUUCUUGUUAAGGAUUUCAAGUGAUUUUGAAUUUUUUUUUUCACUUAAGGACUUCACAAUUUCCCCACUCAAAUUCUCUCACUCAAAAAUUGUUUGGACUUUUAUUUUUAAAUUUCAUCAUCAAAAUUUUGUAAUUGUAUAUUUUGUUUUUGUAGUUUAACAAUGUUCUUUCUUUCCACCAUUUUUUUUUUUGUGAAAUUUUAUCAAAAUGAAUCUAUAUUUAAAAAUCUAAUUUAAAAUUAUAAUAAUAUUUCACAAAUUUUUUACUAAGAUUAUCUUAAAUUCUUUUAAUAUAUUUGUACUCAUUUAUUUAAAAAAUAAAAAACUAACUUUCUAUAAACAUGUUCUAUUACCUUUCAAGUAAAAAAUUAAAAUAACUUUGAAAGUCAAUAAAAAAAAUUAAAUACUACAUUCAAUCAUUUUUAGAUAAAAUUUUAUAUAAUAUAUUUCAUUUGAAAUUUAAUUUAUAAAGUUUUACUAAAAAAUUGCAUUGACAAAUCUUGUUGUGAGUCAAAAUACUUUUCAUUAGUUUAUCUAGAUAAGAAAAAAUAUUAAUAUAAUAUUAGAACUUCAUAUUUUAAUUAUUUUUUCAAUAAAUUUAUCUUUUCAAAAUUAUAUAUAUUUAAAAUAAGAGUAAAGUGAUAAUCAAUUUUUUUAAAUAUGGUUAAUGUGGAAAAUAUAAAAAAUAAUUAAAAAUAAGAGAAAAAAUAUAAAUAAAAGGGUAAUGUAAAUUUAAAAUAAAAAAUGAAAAUUAAACUAAAAGAUAAAUACAAAAAGAUAAAAAUAUUUGGACGAAAAAUCUCAAAAUUUUUAUGGAUUCAACAUCUUAAAAAACAAAAAGAAAAAGAAAACAUAAUUGUCUUUUAUUUGACAUAAAAUGGAAAUAUAGAUUGAGAGAAAAGAAAAUAUAUUAAAAUGGGUAAGUUUCUCAAAGUAGAAAGUUAGAAAUGGGUAACUGGUAAACUUAGCUGAACUUAGCUUGCGAGCCAAGUUUCUUUGUUCACCCGACUGCUUCGCCUACAUAUGCUUCACUCCCCUUUCACAGAUCCACAGAUCAAUCUUGUUAUUUGGCUCUUUCUUUUGGGUUUUCGUUCUCUGUUUCUCCCUUCUUCUCCAAAGUUGUUCGCCUCUCAAUCCUCUGUUUCUUGGUUUCCAUCCCCUCUUUUCUUUACUCCUUUCUCCUCUCUACACCCUCUUCUCUCUCUUCACCGAGGGAUCACGAAUUUAAUCAUCUGAUUCUCAGUCUUCCUGGGGUUUCAAAUUUUCUAUCCCCUGUUAUUGGUGUGUUCUCGUCCUCACUCCAUUCAGUGGUUUUCUCUGUUUCCUGAGUUUCAUAGCCUGUUUUUCCCUAUAUUUUCUUUAGCUUCGAAACUGUUCAGACCCAUCUCCUGCAAAUGGUUAGUCUAGCGUCUAUUUCCAAAGUCAAACCAGAAAAACGCUUCCCUCCACCUAGAGGACGAGUCAAAAAAGAAAUUUUCAAAAGCCUGGUCAAAUCGGUCGGCGCAGUUGCAGGAAUGGCGCGUGGGGUGAAAGGGAAACGAGAAGAAAAUGGUGGUCGGCGCAGCACGACCUCCACUACUCCCGCUGAACUCCCAGUGGGUACAGCUCGGAUGGGUAGUCUUAUGACUCUUAUCCACUGAAUUCAUAUUUCUCUACUCCCCUGUACGGUUAGUGAGCACUGGUCUGCGGUGUUGUUUAGAUUCCUAGAAAUUGUUUCAUUUUUUCAUUUUCUUUUGCCUUUUCUUUCGAUGGAAAGAGAGGGGGCGUUGAAGGUUGGAAUUCUCUAUUGGUUAAUCAUGAACCCAGAAAUAUGCUCAUCUGUAUACAUAUGAUUCUGGUGCUUCGAGUCUGUCUCAUUUUAGCAAAUUUUGAAAGAAUAUUAAUUCAUGGAAAUGUGAUGAGAAUGAUGAUUUGAUCUCCCAGUUUUCUAAAACACUUCUUACCUUUUUUUUUCUCAAAUCAUCUGUUCCUCGUUGAAAGCAGAGGAAAAUAAGUUCAUAUCUACUAGGAUAGAUCUUGAAGAUAAUUCAGAUCAUGGGGUCUGUUUGGAUCGGAUGAUUUUCGAUUCUCUUGAAAAUUUGAACUCCUAAAUCACCAAUCUAAUAAUUAAAAUAAUUUGAAUCUUUUAUUAGAUUCUAAUAAUUAAAAUAAUUUGAUUAUGAUUAAUUUAAGCAUGGAAGUUAGGGUUAUGAAGAAAAAGGACAAUGUAUUUUAAGUUUCAAGAAUCGGCAUCAUUAAGAAAAUGACAAAGAGAGUGAAUGAGUGAGGCACUUGAGGGCGGCCCAUCUGUCGGCGGCCCAGCCUUUUGGGUUCAGGUUACCAUGCAACACUGGGCUGGGAGUGCCUGCAUUGAAUAAAUUAUAUCAUCCCAUUUGACUUCAAUUCGGUCCCUCACACCCUUACAAGAUUUUGGUAGGUCAAUAAUUUGAGAAAAAAAAAAUCGAGAAAAUAAAAGAUAUAUUUAAAAUUAAUAAUUUUUUUUAAAAAUAAAUAUGUAUGAAUGGUUGUAUCAUGGCCUCUUGUAACUUAAUAAGUUUCGAGGUAAAAACACUAUAUUAUAUUAAUUUCUAAAUCCGUAAUUACGGAUAUUUGUAUUAAAAUUAGUUAAAAACUUGUAUAUUUUUUGAAUUAUUUUGUUUUUAUAUUAAAAUUAAAUUAAAUUAAUUAUAAAUAAUUUAUUGAUUUUAAAUUUAUAUAUUAUUUAUUAUUUUAUUUUUUCUGUCUCCUUUAUUUUAAUAUUUUCUUUCAAAUUUUGAAAAAAUCAAACAUUGCCUUAAUUACAUAAUAAAGAAUCUCAGAGUAUAAAAAUAUUUUUUAAUAUUAAUAUAUUUUCCAUUCUAUUUUUAUCAUCACUAAAAUUGAUAGUUACUCCAUAGAAGUCAGCCUUCCAGAAUGUGGAAGCUGGAGUUCCUUGGUCCUUAAGCGAAAAGGAUGUCCGUGGUAUUUUACCACUUAUAUAUUUAUAAAGGAAUAGAAUAUGCUGUGUUGGAUUGGAUGGGACUAGAUUUGCCCUUCAGUUUCUUUUGACUGACCAUAUCUAGAAUUGAAAUAGUAGAUGGCAACAAAAGACACAUUCUUUAUCAUGGAUUCAUGCAUGACUGAGUCAAGCUAAACCUUCUUUAUUGACUCAACAACAACUCUAUAAAAAGAAUCACUGUAAGAUAAUAUUUUACAAUUGGGUCAAAGCUAAUGUUUGUUAAGAAUGAAAAAUGGACACUACUACCCUUUUCCUUGGUUGAUAGGAAAUAAUACGAGUGAAAGGCAUUGAAAGUUAGACCUUUAUAGGGUGAUGGUAAGUAUAGAAGGAUAUUUUUUUCAAUAGGUAACGAAAAGGCAUCACUUUUUAACUAAUUUCAUAAUUUUGUAUCUAAAUCUUAAUAGUUUGAAUUUUGUAUGGGUCCUAAUAUUUUAUACCUAGGGAUGACAAUGGGGUGAAUUCGAGACAGGUCGCCCUCAUCCCAAUUCUCUCCAUUGAACGCUAUUUUGGAAAAUUUUAAUUUUUUUACAAAAUAUUUUAAUUUUUUUUAAUUACAUUAAAAUAAAUAUAUUUGAUAAAUAAUUAAAAUAUUAUAAUUUUUAUAACUUAUUUUAUUGAUUUUUUUUAUUAUUAUAUAUUAAAAAUAGAAAAAUUUUAAAUUUAUUGGAUUUAUCAAAAUUCUAAAGGCUUGAUUUCAUAUUGCUAAAAAAUUUAGAAAAAAUAUAGAUAUGUAAAGGAAAAGUACUGAUCAUGAUUCAUUCAAAACUAGUUUUAUUUUUAUUUUUUUGUUUUAAUUGGUUUUAUUUUUUAGUUUUAAAUUAUUUUUAAAAAUUACUAAAUUCAUUUAAAAUAAAUUCAAUGCAUUAAGUUUUGCUCGAUUUGAAGUUCAUUUGCUAGUAAAAAAAUUCUUAAAAUAUAAUCAUGUUUAAAAAAGAAAUAACAAACCCUUUUUGUAUUAGUUUUAGUUUGUGAAUUUUUUUUAUACUAAUCGGGUUUUUGAGUUUCAAAUUAGUUUUUAUAUAAACUUGUAAACAAAUACAAUGCAUUAAAUCUUAAUCAUUCAUUCUAGACCAAAUUUUUGUCCAUUAAUGUUUAUGUGGACUCACAUUUUUCAAAUGCACUCCCAAUCAAUGGCAAUACUAGUUUUUAUUGUGAAAAAUUGUGUGCAUGUGUGUGUGUUUUUUUAAAUAAAGUUACUACUUAUUUUUGUUUCUUUUUAAAAGGAAAAAAAACCAAAAUAAGAUAUAAAACUUUAAAAUGUUUCAUUUUUAAAAGAAAAACAGGUUUACAAAAAUCGAGUUUUAAGUUUGGGUUACUUGAAAGGGUCUCUAUUAAAUAAAUGAAUGAAAUCAUGACAAUCAAUUAAUCACAAAUAUCGAGAAAAAGUAGGAAACAAGUACAUAUAAUAAUAUAAGAUGAAAAACAAACUAUAAUGAUAUAAAAUAUUGAGAAAGGGAUUGCACAAAUUAACUUAUUAGACUAAUUUAAAAUAAAAUAAAAUAAAAUAAAAACUUAUUAUUUCCAAAUAUUACAACAUUUUCAAAAAAGAACUUUACUCACUAAAAUCAAUUUUCAGUAUUUCAAUUUAUUUAUUUAUUUAUUUACAAAAAGUCAGUUUAUUCACAAAAAAUUUGACUUUUAUUUUGGUUCAAAUUUGUUUCCAAAAUGACAUUUUCUUGUUUUUAUUAAAAGAGUUUAUUACGAGUCUAUGUAAUACAAUAACUUGGUAAAUUAUAAUAACUUGAUAGUCUUAUGUCAAAAUUCACCGUAGGUGUAGUCUAAUAUAUAAUCAUAAACACUAAUAUACUUACCAUGAGAAACAUAUUCCAAUGGGCAAGAUAAGUCAUUCAUCUAAUUAUGAGGUAAUAAUACAUUGCAAUCUCUACUAAAUUGCUCAAAUUCGUGAACCAACUAUGAAUUACUUAUCACCUUGUAAAAAACUCAUAACUUGUAUAUUUUGUACAACUUUUAAUACAUGUAAGUCAUAUACAAUACUAGUGAUAUGAGCAUACUCAAAAGAAAAUCAAUGUAAAAGGCAGAUAGAAAGUCAAGUCUAAUUUUAUUACAGCAUGUCUUAUUUUUAAAAGUUCUAUCCCAACACUAAUAAAUAAAUAAAAAAUAAAAAAUCAAAUACAUGUAGUCAUACAAGUUAUGCAACCAUACUUGAAAAGUGACCUAAGCAAGACUAGGUAAACCUAAAUGGGCCAAGGCAUGCCGAAAUGGGCCUAGGUGAGUCUAACCUAAAGUGCACGUAGGUGAAAGAAACCUAAACUAAACUGGGGGCUACCAAGUUCACAAUGAGGGGUCAUAUAAAUCCCUCAACUAAAGUCUCCAAGAUGGCUCAAAAAAAAUGUAAAUUGUAUGAGUGGUCAUGGGCCACCAAAAGACUACUGUGAAGUAUCAAAUGAGUUCUUAAUAAGACAUGUGCUAAGAAGACAAAAUGGAGGGUCUACAAUAGCCUAAGUUGAUUAAGCCACAUCAAGACUCAAAUCAAGUUAAAGCCUAAGACCACCAAGGUCCAAUCCAAGCUAAGAUUCAAACAAGUUAAGCCUAAGACAUGCCUAAUUAUGGAAAUGACGGUCAAUCUUGAGACCAUCAUCUCCAUAUCUCAUAUUUCUCUUCUUAUAUUUAGAGCUCAACUUGCAAAAUCUUACUUCAAGGGAUGUCUUUCUUGAUUUUUGUAUCUUUACAUUCUUAGUCUAGAUUCCACAAAUUUAUCUCCAUCGACCUCUUAACUUUUUUCCCUCAUAAUUUAAAUAUUUAUAAUGAAGGUAUAAAUUUUACAAAUCUAUCUUCAUCUCAUAACUUUUUUUUUCACUCAUGAUUUAAAUAUUUAUAAUCAUCUUUCUAAUAACUUGUUCUAGAAGAAAAUUUGACACUACAUUGAUAUAUCAAUAUAAAAAAGACAAUUUUCAAUAUUAUUUUAUUAUAAUAAAUGAUUUUGGAGACGAGAAUUUGAAAAUACCCUCUUGAUGAAGAAGGUUAUUGAAGUCCUCAUGUGGCUAGGGUUGAGGCACUAGACUACAACAAAUCAAGCCCAUGAUACCUUUUCUAGAAGACAUGACAUUAAUAUAUUAACUUCUAGAAAAGUGUUCAUAUUAGUGUGCUUCCAUCUCAUGUCCUCAUGGUUAUGAAGUGCUUUUAAAACAAUAUGGGCCAUCGGUAAACAAUAUCUCUACAUGCCAUGUGAAGUCUAUCUAUCUCCUUGCUAUUGAAAGAGAUGUUCCUAGGAAUUGCUGGAAGUUUUUAGCUUUUAGCUUAUAGCUUAUAGUAGGGUAGGAAGAGCUAAUCUCAUGCGACCGUGAGAGCCCUUAAAUUGGUUAUCAAUUUAUUUUCUCUAUUUUCAACAUAAAUAUUCUUGAGAAUAUUCUAAAACAUAGCCAUAACAGGGUUUCAUUUUGGAUUGUGGAGACAAUUUGAUUUUGGGUUUUCAAAUUUUGGCCCAAACAUAAAUGAAUUGGUUAUGGGCUGGCCUUUUCAAACACCAAACAUUAUUUUUGGCAAAAAAGUUGAUCAACAAGUUGGUGGGUAGACUUGACUCCACCGCGUUAGGUAUAUACCAACUGGUCAUGAUUUCAAUCCGUCAACCUUAAGAUCCCUAAUAGAACUAUCUGAGAAAUUCAGGUUCAUGUCCUCAAAGUCUGGCUUUCUUCAUGCUCUUCCUAAGUCAAUCCUCAUGUCUAGAAAGGUAUACAUAAGGAAAUUUCCUUGAAUUAGUAUUAGAAUUCCAAAGUGUAAUAUUCUUCUUGUAAUUUUUUAUAAAUAAAAGCAAGAACAUAUGAAAUAUAUUCAUGUCAAAUGUGGGCAAAGAAAAAGGAUAAUUUCAUUAAUGAGCUGCAGAGUAGUAAAUGAUACAAAAAUAAUAGGCAUCUUAAAUUUCAUGAUUGAAGUAGUUGAGAAAAAUCAUACUCUUGCGGUUCAUUUAUAUAUAUAUAUUAUAGGCAUUGUAUGACCCAAAAAGUUUCCAAAUGAAGAAAAAUAUCCACUCUUCUAGAAACAAAGGUGAAUCGUCCAAGUCAAAUUCUCACCAAAUUCUUUUAUCUAUAAGCUUUAAUAUGAACAAUUAUAAAAAGAUGAGUCACUUUUCCUUUCAUAAGGGAACACGUAUCAUUGAGAAGAACACCUAUCACUUGAUUACAUGUAUUUUUUUUUUAAAACUAUAAUUCCUAUUUAUAUCAAGCUUUCUAGAGUUUUAAUGUUGUCAAAUAUAAUUGAUUUAUGUAGUGUUACAUAAUUGACGGACACGAUGUAAGAUAAAUGAUGGUGGUUGUCAUACUGCUGCAUAUAUAUAAUUUUGGAUUUGAUCGCUUCAAUCUUGAAACCUUACAAGAUCAGGGAUAAAAACUCUACUUAUUUUAGUUAACACCUCUAUAGUUUAUCUUCUUACUAUUAUUUUUACUAUUUUUACAUUUAAAACUAGAUGAACUUUGAAUUCAUUGAUACUAUACUUUCACUUUGACCUAUACUAUCUCUUUCAAAAUCUAUGAUAAAAUAUAUUUAUUAUAUUUUAUAUAUUUUAUGGGUAAUUUUAAGUUAUUUUUAGUCAAAUUUUAAACUUAUGUUUUAUCAAUUAAUUUUUAGGUCUAACUAUAUGUAUAUACCUUUGAAUUAAUAAUCAUCUAAAUAUAUUUAAUUUUAGUAUAGAAUACAAAGGAGAUUAAAGAGAAAAUGAAAAAAAUAGUCUUCUCGUCAAACUCUUUUAAGUCUUAUAUUAAACUAAAAAGUUAUGACACAAUAUAAAGAUGACUUUUAUUCUUCUUUAAGGGUCGUUCUCCAAUUAGAACUUUAAAUUCAAAAGUGAGCUGUGAGUUCUUGUAUGGAUGGGUAUAUAUUGCAACCUUACUUUGUCUUGUACUCAAAGGAAGAUGUACUCGUCUUUUUCCCCAAAUGGUAUAAAAUGAAGAGUCAAAAGAUUCUCCUAUUAAUAAAAUUAAUAAUAAAAAAUAUUCUCGAUGGAAAAUAUAAAUAUAUAGUAUACAGAAACUAUCUUAAAAGCAGAACUUAAUCACUCUCACCAAGUUCCCAUCGAGUUGUUCCUUUCAUAAGCUUUAGUUCUGUCACUUAUUGGAACCAUUCCUCUAAAGAUAAUAUAAUUCAACGGAUGCAACAUGGCAUAAUUAACAAAAUGAAAGUAGAGGUGAAUCGGAACAUCGGGUUUUCAUCCGAUUCUUCUUUAUAUAGACUUUAGUAUAUUCCGUCAUAAAAACGUGAACGGCUUUUCCUCCUAGUUUCUCUAAUCUCAUGUACGGGUAACGUGUAGGCUAUGUUUGGUUCCCGAAAAGUACAAAGGAAAUAAAAAAAAUGUUAAGGAAAAUGAUUUUUUCAUGGUUGUCCUAUGAAAAAUAUCAAAGAAAAUCAAAUAUAAUUAAAACUAAUUAAAAACUUAUGUAUUUUUAAAUUAUUUAAUCUUUAUAUUGAUGAGUUAAAAUAAAUAAAAUGAGUUUGAAGUAACAAAAAAAAUAAUUUAUCAAUUUUUAAUCUAUUUUUUUUAUUUUUCUUCACUUUUUCUUUUCUUCUACUUUUCCUUUGUAUUUUAUUUCCCUCGCAUUUUCCCUCAAAUUUUCCGGGAACCAAACAUAACCGUAAUGUUUCUCUAAUCUCAUUUACCCGUGUUGUGAAAUAUCCACGUGGCAAAAAAUUCGAAUGAAGUCGAGAGUUCUAUUAUUACAGGCUAGCAGCUUCAAAGUUGAAGGGUCAACCUAUUCAUGGUGGUUGGCACAGGCAUGCUUUUUAUUUUUUUUAUUUUUCAUGAGUUGUAAACUGCAAGACAGUGAUGGUAUGAUAAUUAUGCCACACGUCACAUAAAUAAUAUGGCCAAAAUUCUGUGUUUAAUUGUAACUACAUACAUUAAAUGAAAGAGGCUAAGUUGAUUUAUAUGCCAUAUUUAUUUAUAGAAGAGUGAAUGACUUACCUGCCAGUCACGGCUAACGUUACUCAACUUCAAGAGAAAAAAAAAAGGAAAAAAAAAAUUAAUUACCAUUUUAAAAACAUUUUUAAGAAUGUAAUAUUAUAAUAAAAAAAUUAAAAUUAAAAAUUGAAACCAUCUUCAAAUUGAAAAUGUGUAUGGUAUACUUGCAUUUUUCACUUGCAUUCCACUGGGUUGUGAGACUAGUUUUUUUUUUUAUAAAUAAAAAACUGAUUUUUAUAAAAAUUGAAAUCACUACAUAUUUUUGUUUAUUUUUUUUAAAGAAAAAACAAAAUAAGAAAUAAAACUCUAAAAAAUGACUCAUUAUUUUAGAAAAAUAUGUAUUUGAAAAUCGAAUCCAAAUUAGGGAUUAAAUUACUUUUUGGUAAGGUACGAUGAUAAAUCAUAGUAUUUGUAUAAGAUUUAAAAUUAGUUUUUUAUUAAUCAAAUUAAAGUAAGUAAAUAGAUACGGAUAAAAUGAGAGAUAUGUUUGAGAAAAAUAAAUGUGAAAAUUUGUAUUUAAUUUUUAUGACCUUCGAAAGUGCUGAGGGUUUUGAUAUAAAAAUGAAAAGGGUAUUGAGAAAAUGUUGUUAAAAAAAAAAGAAGAAAAUGUUAAAAAGGUUUAUUUUUGUUGAAAAAGGAUAGAAAAAGUUUAGAGAAAGUCUAUUUUAUAAAAUUAUUUUUUUAAAAGUUUAUGAAUAAUUAAAAAAGGAAAAUUUUUAUAAUUAUAUUUUUAUUAUUUUAUUUCCUCUUUAUUUUGUUUUCUUUAAAACCAAAUAUAAAAUUUAAAAAUCUGAAAAUGACUUUUUUUUUUGGUUUGAAAUAAAAAUUGCAAACAAAAAAUAGGAUAGAUUAUCUUAAAUGUUUAAUUAUAGUAUAAAAUUUUAAAAUUAAUGCAUACCUAAGAUAUCACUUGAAUAUAGUUGUCACAUAAAAUUGACGAAUUUUAAUAUAAAAAUACAAAAUUAUGAUCUAAAAAUUAUUUUUCUUUUUAAAAAUGUUGUUUGAAGAAAGAAGAGGCAAAUAUUUGACAUUUUUAAAAAUGAUCACUCUAAAAAAUAUUUUUAAAAUAACUAAAAAGUUAAUUUGAAUUGUAUGAGAAAUUUUAUUUAAAUUAAUAUUAUUUAUUUAAUAUUUAAUUCUUAAAAAUUACAUUAAAAAAUCAAAGAGAAUUUAAGGUUUUUUGGAAACUAUUUUUUGUAAUAAUUUUUUAUUUUUAAAAAUAAAAAAACAUAGAAAAUAUAUUUAAUAAUUUUUUUAUUUUUUAUUUUUAAAAAUAUAAAUAGAAAAUAAGGUAUUUUCAUAUAACUUUUUUUUUAAUUAUUUUUACUUGUUUUUAUAGGGACUAUUUUAAAAAAUAAUUAUAUAAACACGUGAAAUAAUUAAAAAUAAAACAUUAAAUAUAAAAAUUAUUUUAAAAAUAGAUUUAAAAUAUUUUAAAUUUUUAAACAGAUUUUUAUUUUAUAAAAGUUAAAAAAUAAUUUUUAAAAAUUAUUCUUAAAUUUUUUUUUUUAAAUUAAUUUCAACAAACAAUGAAAGGAAAUUGUGAUGCGAUGAUAAAAGAAAUAAAAAUAAAAAAUGGGGUGAGAGAGUGUGAUUGCAAUAACUGCAGACUUCUCAACUGCAGACAAACUCUUUCCAACUAAGUGAAAUUCUAGACGAAAUGAAAACGACGAAGAAUUGAAAGUAGGGUCCAUUUGGAUAUACCCGAGUUCUCUUUUUUGAGUGUGUUCAAAAUUCAAAGUUGAAAGUUCAAAUUCCACGCACAAACAAACGGUCCCUCUUUCCACUCUGUGCACUCAAACCCUUUCUUCACUUUCCUCCACUUUUCCCCUCUCUUCUCAUAUAUAUAGAGGGAGAAAGAGAGCGUGUGAGAGCUCAUCCUCUCAUUUCAUUUUAAUUUCAAUCUCAUUUCAUCUCAAUUUGAGGCUCUGAAGAAAUGGAGAACGAGUCCGCGGCUGUGGAAGUGAAGGGGGUUCCAUCCUACGGUGGGAAAUACGUCCAGUACAACGUGCUCGGUAACCUCUUCGAGGUCUCGGCUAAGUACGUUCCGCCGAUUCAGCCGGUUGGCCGUGGCGCCUAUGGAAUCGUUUGGUGAGAUUUUCUCGGCUUUUUAUUUUUUGGCUUAUUGGAUUCUAAAGUGCUAUUUUGGCUGGCAUUUUGGAAGUGUUUUUCUUUCUUUUUGAGAGCUGUCACAGGGUUUUUUUUUCUUUUUUUUUUUGGUGCUUUUAUAAGCAUGAAAAAGUACUUGGAAAAUAUCCUUUGUUUUCCCCGGAUUGAAAGAUGUAGGCGUUAUUUGGGCUCUGUUUGGUUUCUGAGAAAAUGGUAGAAAUUUUAAAUCGGGUUUAGUUCUUUAUUUGUUUGGUUUUGGUUCUGGUUGGUGAAAAAUGAAGUCAAAUUAAACUAAAUAGUGUUUGUCGGCUCGCUUGAGUGGAUUUGUCUCGGUAGGGCCCCUUUUUAUUUCUGAGAAAUUGGUGGAGUGGAAACGUAAAUGAAAUUUUGAAAAUUGUUUUUUUUUUUCUUUUUUGGUGAUGAAAAAUGAAAUGAAUCAAUACAGCAAAAUAGUGUUUUUUGGCUCGUUUGAGUGGAAUUUUCUUGGUUAUUUUGGGAUCUAGUCUCUGUUUGGUUGCUGAAAGCAUGGAAAGAAAAAAAAACAUAAAUUCUUGGAUUUUUCAAGAUUUAGUCAGAGAAGGAAAAUGGUUUAAUUAAAGCUUAAGUCAACUUCUUGGCUUGGUUAAGGUGAAUUUUUUGUCCUUUUUUGUCCUUUUUUUUUUUUUUUUUUUUUUUUUUGUGGGUGGGGGGGAACUGAAGCAACAUCAAACAUAAGAUUAACAACUUGUUUUCUUAUCUUCCUCAAAUUUCUCAAGAACCAAACAGAGAGUUUAUUUUUAAAAGUUAUUCUAAUUUCAAAAUUCUGAUGCAUAGUGUGAUUAUAAGAUUUCUGGUUUUAUCAUUUAUGUAAUUCAGGAUUGUAGAAAGCAUAUUGUAUGAUCCAGUAUUGUGGAUGGCCUUUUCUUGGAUAAAAAGUGCUGAGUUAAAUCCAGAAUUGUAUUAAAUGGAAGUUAGUGAUGAAACAGACUUUCCUUGGAUGUACUACAAAACUCCUGUGCAGAUUACAUGAUUAAAUCCCUGCCCACUUGGUAUAAACAGAAGUUCAAUCUGAUUCUGAGGCUUCUAGCUCAAACAACAAAGCAGGAAUUAUAUUGAUUGCUUACCAUAUGCGUGUUGCAAUUUUUUAUAUAAGAAUUAUGACACUUUUGGCUUAGAGCUCCUAAAUGUAUUUCUUUGUGAUUGGGAAUUGAUUAUUAUUCACUGACUACAGCUGUGCGACGAAUUCCGAGACAAAUAAGGAAGUCGCAAUCAAGAAGAUUGGGAAUGCAUUUGACAACAGGAUUGAUGCUAAAAGGACACUCCGGGAGAUCAAACUCCUUUGCCAUAUGGAUCAUGAAAAUGUAUUCACAUGAGUCAUAGAACUUUGUUGCUUGGGGUGGCAUAUUCUGGGCAGUUACUUUCUUUUUCAAUUUGUCUCUGUUUGUUUGCUGCUUUAUUUAUUUAUUUAUUUAUUUUUGUUUCUUUUUCUUUUUAAUAAUGAAAAGGUAAUAUUGAUUUUAACAAGGUGUUGUGAUAAUUGCAAGUUUUGAAAAAGGGAGUAUUGUAGAGGAUAUGCAACCCCGUUCUUUUUCUUGUAAUGUUGUGAACUGGAGAUGCUGAAGAACACUUUUAUUUUGCAGAUUGUCAAAAUUAAGGACAUCAUAAGGCCACCUGACAAGGAAAAGUUCAAUGAUGUGUAUAUUGUUUAUGAAUUAAUGGAUACUGAUCUACAUCAGAUAAUACGCUCUUCCCAGGCACUAACAGAUGAUCAUUGUCAGGUAAGUUGGUUCUCUGGCUUGCUUCCUUUCAGCCUAGUGUCUCUAUAGACUGUGCAACUUCUUUACUUCACCCGUAAAUCUGUGAAUAAAGAUUGUGCAUGGCAUUUGAUUUUUAUUAUUAAAACAGCUAAUAACACCAAGUUUGAAAUCCCUUUUAUAGGUGAAUCUGUCUGGCCAUCUUUAGUUGAGUCGCAUCGUAUAAUAUGAAAAAACUAACAUUGCAAUUUGGUAUCUGAAUAUUGAAAGAGUAUUUAAUUUAAUGUAUAAGCUGUUGAUGCAGGAAGUGGACACCAAUACCCUGCAUGACCAUGCACUUGUCGUUUUGAAAUCCAUUAUUUGGACUGUUGUUUAAGCAUACUUUGGUUUCCUUUGGUUCCAUCAGCGCAUUAGCAUAUCAAUAAGGUGCAUAGGUCCAAAUGUAGGAUUUCAUUGUAUCAUUUGAAUUAUAACAUGAUUUUUGAGGCUGCCAUGAUCCAAAAGAGUGCUUGUUAAGACAAUCAUUUUUACAUCUUCUUUUCAAAUUAGAAGAAUCUACAAGAAACACUAGGUCACAAUUAUUAACACUGUUGCCUUAGCAAAUACAUAUUUUGUAGAAAACUUGGAUAGCUCAACCCCUUGUUAUCUUACAAGCUGAAGGUGUCACCUGGGUAGUUAGUAGGGAACACUAAUACUGUGUUAUUUGAGGAAUAAAAACAAGGUGCUGAUAACAUAAAAACAGCAUGACGUGUCCAAAAACUCAUUUGAAUAUUAAGAACUAAGUUUGAUGCAUUCACAAUAUAUGUUCAAAUUUGCAGCUUGAAAUUAAAUAUAUGUUGCAAAAUUUGUUGAAAUUAAAUUAUAAAUUAGCAGUAACGUGAAGCAUAAUGUUUGUUGGACUUGGCAGUAUUUCCUGUAUCAAUUAUUGCGAGGGCUGAAGUAUAUACACUCUGCCAAUGUUUUGCAUCGAGAUUUGAAACCAAGCAACCUACUACUGAAUGCUGACUGUGACCUCAAGAUUUGUGACUUUGGACUUGCAAGAACCACCUCAGAGACAGAUUUCAUGACAGAAUAUGUUGUUACCCGGUGGUAUCGAGCCCCUGAAUUGCUACUCAACUGUUCAGAAUAUACUGCAGCCAUUGAUAUCUGGUCAGUUGGUUGCAUUUUGAUGGAGAUCCUUAGAAGAGAGCCACUUUUUCCUGGUAAAGACUAUGUUCAGCAGCUGGUGCUUAUAACUGAGGUAUUUUUCUUUCCUCUUUAUUUCCCCGCCAGUUUUUCUAUUAGCAGGCCGACAGGGCGUUCUCUUGGUUUGGGUAUAUGAACUCUAUUUGUAGAAGAUAUCAGGACAAGUUGCAUAUAUUGGCAUUGUAUUUAUCCUGUGAAUAUUAUUAUGGUGGUCACUAAUGAAAAUUUUCCUGGUUAUCCCAAAAUAGCUAUUAGGUUCCCCGGAAGAUUCAGAUCUUGGAUUUCUUAGAAGUGAUAAUGCUAGGAAGUAUGUCAAGCAGCUCCCUUGUGUUCCAAAGCAACCUUUCUCAGAGAAGUUUCCUAACAUAUCUCCAAUAGCCAUGGAUCUUGUGGAGAAAAUGCUAGUUUUUGAUCCAAGCAAGCGCAUAACUGGUAUGCCUCUUAUGUUUAUCAAUACAGAACAUUUUUCCCUUUUUUUUUCUCCUGAUUAUUAUGUUCUUUUUCACAUGAUAUUUGCGCAGUCGAGGAAGCCUUGAAUCACCCAUUUUUGUUGCCUCUCCAUGAGAUCAACGAGGAGCCCAUCUGCCCCUCUCCUUUCAUCUUCGAUUUUGAACAAUCAUCCUUAAGUGAAGACGAUAUAAAGGAACUCAUAUGGAAUGAGUCUCUGAAUUUCAACCCUGAUGAGAUGCUGGAGUGAUCAUAACCAUGUUGUUCUGCUGCUUUAUUCACCAUAGUUCCUGAUCAGUAUUUUGGUUUUUGCUUGGAAGGUAAGUAAAUGUAUACUAUGUGGUUGGAUUAUGUAUAAGAGUGAUUGGGAAGAUAGGUUCUUCCUUGUAUUGAGAGGGUGAAGUGGUAGUUGUUUUAGAGCAAUAUUGAAGAGUUACUGGGGUUACAUUCUUUUCAAGAAUCCAGCAACCCAUGGAGGGUUGGCCUGCAUAAAAAGGAGGUUAUGCUCUUCUGACCUUCUGUCUUGAGUCUGUAUUGUAUAUCCCAAAUCCAAUUUUAUCAAUGCAAAAAGGAAAAAAAUAAAUAAGUACUUGUGAGGGGGAAACUACUGAUUCUGUUUCAUAUCCUUGAGAAAUGGGUUCUAACUUAAAUACUCACUUGAUUGAUUUAUUUAUUUUUUUCUCAAUCAGUUAAUAUUUAGUGGCCUAAUUUGAAUUCUACCAUUGGUGAUAUCUUGAAUUUACCCAAUAUUGAUUAUUAUGAGGCGGUCAAUAUCCUGAGAUUUGGGUCCUCAUGGAGAGUCUUUAAGAACUUGGUCAUGGAAGGUUCCUCAAUUAUUAAAAAAAUAUAUAUAAUGACCCAAUUUACUUGCAGCAGAGAUGGAUGAUUUUGCUUUCAUCCUAGUUUGAAUUCAUUGAGAACAUCAUACCUUAGCACCUUGAACAUACAAGUUCUUUAAUUUGCCAUUGGUUCAUGGAAAAACAGAGGGAAAAUUUGAAGGUAAAAUAAAAACAAAGAGUAAAGAGUAAAAACAAAGAAAAAAAUUAGCAGAAGAAAAUGAAAUAUAUGUUGAAAAUUAAUAAAUUAUUUUCAUAUGAACAGUAUAUAAUUAGAAAUUAAAUAAAAUUUAAAUUAAUUUCAACUAUAUUUAAUUUUUAUAAUAAAUAUAAAUUAAACAUAGCGAAAAUAAUAUAUUAUUAUUUAUUAAUACAAACUCACAGGCCUUUCAGAGCCUGCCACUAUUCUCCAGUCUCCACGCUGUGCCAUGACCAUCCAUUAUCAUGGCCCAAUAAGCCAUCCUCGGCAUUGUCCACCACACUACGGUUUGAAGAACUGACCUCAAAUUUAAGUGCACUUACGUGCAUCUAUUGACUUUCGCUUCAAAAUAUCAUUGCCUCCAUUAAUUCCGAAGGUAUCAUGAUUUAGCUAAUAAAAUAUUCAUUUUUAAUUCCUGUUCUCGCUUAGCAAGUGACGUGGACAUCAGUUUCCCAUUAUUUAUUAAUUGAGACAUAUUUUUUGAGAUGAAAAAAAAUCUAAACACUGCGGACAUUAACUUUUUGAUGAAUUGACAGCCUUAUGACGAUAUCGUAGCCACAUCCCUUCAAGAUAAUAUUUGUUAUAUUGCACUAAGAAUAGUCAUUUGAUAUGGACUUACGAAUUUCAAAGAUUUUAUCUUAAAAAGGGAUCACGCUUAAGUUUUUUAAUAUCCCGAACCUUAUUUUUAAAGUUAAAUACACUUUAUCCCCUCAACCGUAUUUUAUGUUGUUCCCCUUACACGUUAAUAUUAUUUUUCAAAUUUAUUAAAAUAAAGUACUUUGACCCCCAAGUUGUUAAAAAGAUUAAUGAAUAAGUUGUUAAAUAAAAAAAUAGAGUUGAAAUAUAAAAACAAAUUUAUUAAAAUAAAGUACUUUGACCCCAAGUUGUUAAAAAGAUUAAUGAAUAAAUUGUUAAAUAAAAAAUAAAGUUGAAAUAUAAAAAGAAAAAUGUAUUAUUUAAGUUUAAAGUUGUCAAACUUUAUAGUAACAGUCACAAAUAGUUAUAUGAACAUCUAUUCAAAACCAAAAAUCAAAAUUAAUAGUUGUUAUAUUUUGAAGGCAUUUGAAAAAUUCUAUUUGAAAGUUGUUAAUUCAAAAUUGAUUCUAGAUUCAAAUUAGUGUUCGAAUUAGAGUGCAAAAAAAAUUGUUUUAUAAUUUUAUAGAAAGUUUGUAAUCGAAAACAAAAUGUUGGUUAUUAACAAAGUUAAAGGGCAAAGAUGGAAAAUUUUAAAUAUGAGAAAGUAAAGUGUAAAAUAUGAAACUCAAAUUUAUUAGGAUUUGGCUACAACGUUGAAAAUGUAUUUAUCAAAAAAUAUGAAACUCAAAUUUCAUUAUUCAUAUGUUUUAUAUCAAUAAAAUUCAUACUUUACACAUGUGAGGAUUUUUGACGUUUUUGGUAUCAGUCUCUUUAUAAUCUAAUAACUUUAGCUUUUAAGUUAAUCGCUGACUUAACACUUAUGUAUUAAGUAAAAUAUGAUUAUUUUUUACAAUAUUAUUUAUUUAUAUUUGGUUUUUGACAGUACAAAAUGAAAAAUGUUUUUAAAAACGGAAAACAUAGAAAUGAAACGGAGCACGCUGCACGGUGCUUCCAGACCCUAGAAACUGCUAAAAUCACACAUUUUGACAGGGAACAAACACCGUGAGAAGACGAUGCUUCGAAUCAUCUUUAAAAAUGCUUCACAGAGCCGAAGCAAACCGCAAUCAUGUCCAUUCUUCUCCAUAAUCGUACGCUCGUAUUCGCAGCUCCACUCGCAGAUCCAGCGGUUCAUCUCUUUCUGUUUUUGUCUUUUUGUUUUUUUAUUUUGCUUGUUUUUGUUUUUUGUGGUAUCUAAUUCUUACAAGCAGCUGUUCUAAAUCUCCAGGCCUUCAUUUGGCAUUGCGUUUGAUAUCGAUGGCGUCGUUUUACUCGGCAACACUCCGAUCGGGGGCUCCUCGCAGGCACUCAAAAGAUUACAUGAUGAUUGCGGUGCGAAUUCUGCUUUUGUUGCAUUAGAUUCUAGCAGUUCUGAAUUUUUAUUUUUUUAUGGAUUUACCCUUGGAUUGCGUGGAAAUGUACUUGUCUGAUCUGUUUGGUUGCUGAGAAAAAUGUGAGAGAAGUAGGUAAGUAUUGGAGAUAUUGAAGUUGGAGUGGAAGUAAUGUUUUAGCAAUUCAAAUCAGUUGAAUACUUUGUGAUAAAUAGGAAAUUUUGUUAGGAAGCGACUUUAUCCAAGCAAGAUAGUUUAAAUUUUUUAUUUCUUAUACUCUGUUUGGCCCUAGGAUGAACCAGGGAAAGAGAAGGAAAAAAGUUGAAAUAGCUUGAGGAAAUAAUCCAUAGUUUCUGCAUUUUCCUUUCCUUCUUUUCAAUAUUCAAACGGAGUCUUAACGAAAAACUAUUACAGCUGUGAUGUGAUCAAUCCACAAGACUCUCUAGUAAAAGGUCUAGUGCCUGAAGCGACCUUAGAAACUAAUUAUAUAUAAAAUGAUUAUGCUGGAUCUUUUGUACAUUAGUCAAGUUAACAUGAUUACCAGGCACUCCAAGGCAUACUCCUGAAUUUGGGAUUAGCUCGGCAUCAAAAUAAUUCAGGAUUCUGGAGUACUUUAGAAAAAAUACAGGCAUGAUUUGGGGAAAAAAAAUCAAGAUGAACUUGAAAGUAAGAAAAGCAAUAGCUGUUAAAAAAAUAGUGAAGAUUUGCGAUGAUCUAUCACUUCAUAUUAUUAAGAAGAAAUGAUGUCAGAAAUAGCUAGGGAAUUAAUUAUCCAUGAAAUUUGUAUGUUGGACUAAGUCAGGAAUUGUUUACAUGCAUAGAAGUAUAUGGGUUUUAUUUAUUUGAUGAAGUGUUCGUAAAUAGUUUGGGAAUUACUCCCAAGACUUACUUAGCAUUUAACAUUUUUAUCCAUCAUUAAACUCCUAAUACUCUCUUUCUUGGCAGGUAAAUUGAAGAUUCCCUACAUUUUCUUGACAAAUGGUGCGUCCUUGUUUACAAUUUACUUAUCUUGUCAACCUAUAUUGGUAGCAUUAAAUGGAGGACUCCAUUUUGCAAUUUGUAGUAUGGAUUCUAUUUGGACUGUCUUUCAUAGGUUGGAUGAUUUGAAGAUGCCUGUGCUGAGCAUAAUAAUCUGUUGAAUUACUUUAAUAGUUAUAUUCUGUGAUGCGCAUCCAAUUGUACUUGUAUUUUAUUCAGUGUCUCUUCGAACCAAAAAGAAUUCUAAUCAGAAAUUUGAGGAUAUCAUUCCCUCGUGUCAUCUUUUGAACUGUUUAUUGAGUGUCAGUUUGUAGAAGACUCUGGAUCCUAGAUAAUCAUAUCUUAAUUCUUGAAGUAGUGAAUUCCACUUCAAUUCUUUAUUUCAACAGGAGGUGGAUUUCAUGAAUCUAAAAGAGCCUCUGAGUUAAGUGAACUAUUGGGCGUAAAUAUUUUACCGACACAGGUAUUGUGCCACUUUAAAAAAUCCACUCAGGUCCAAACUCACAGAAUUUGAUGUCUAAAACUGUGAUUCUGAUGCAGGUUGUCCAGGGACAUUCACCUUUCAAACAGCUGGUAAAAAGGUAUAUAACUAGUGAGAUGCAAACUAAUUUCAUGUGCAAAAUGCUGAUAUGAAAGAAGAGUGAAAUACACUAAUAAUAUUGAAAAAUCUCCCAUUAUAAGAUAGAACUGGUAAUAAUGUCAUCAAUCAGAAGUUAAAAGUUGUUAAAACUAUCUAGCAGAUAACUUUCAUUAAAGCCUAACAUACCUAAGCCUAAUAAGUUAUUCUUGGUAUUGGGAAAGUCAAAACACAAUGUAACCAGCAAUGCAUGUUUGAAAGUUUAUUAGUGUUCAUUAUGUUUGAAUUCUUGAACUAGCCUCCCUCAGUGAAGCCACUUGCCACAUCAGUUGGUUGAUCUGUGAAUCUGUGCUAAUAUGCUUUGUUAUCUCACAGUAUCUCAUGAUAUGUAACAUUAGAACACACUCAUGAGACCAUAAAUGAGUUCAGUUCACUUCAAUGAUGAAUAGCAAUAAGAUAGCAGCUAAUAAUCAUUGAGCAGUAUGGCCUUGGGCUUCAUAAAUGGGUGUGCCAAUUUUUUGUCAAAUAUGAUCUAUUCAUGGAACCAACCAACACUGAUGCUUAAACGCUUCAUAUACCACUAGGCAUCAUAACAUGUUACAUGAUCCUAAUACAUGCAAGAUAAUGAAAUUUUAUAACACAUGAUGCAUCCAAUUUUCAAAUGAAAGUUUAUAGUAUUACAAUAUGUAUAUCAGGUCAGGGAAAUAAGUGAGAUCCCAAGGAGAAUACUAAGAUGCUUAAAUGCUUCAUAUACCACUAGGCAUCAUAAUGUGUUAUAUUAUCCCAAUAUAUGCAAGAUAAUGAAAUUUUAUUUUUUAAUGAGAGUUUAUAAAAUUAUAACAUGUCUAUCAGGUCAGGGAAAUGAAUUAGAUCCCAAGGAGAAUAAUAAGAUGAUUUAGAAAAAAAGAUCCUCUCUUCCUUUUAUUGGUGUAAUUUUGAUCUGUUUCUUCAUCUUCAUCUUAAUUAACCAGUAUGUUACUUUUACAGAUUUGAGAAUGAACUUGUUAUUGCUGUUGGCAAGGGAGAACCUGCUGCAGUGAUGUCUGAAUAUGGCUUUAAGUAAGGUUUUGUGCUUCUUGUCUUGGUCUAUCUGAUUUGUGAAUGCCAAAAAUUUCACCAUGGCUGUUAAAUUUAAAUUUCAAGGAUGAUCUACAAUUGUAUUUUAAAUUUGCUUCUGUGCUUAUUGAUUUUAUUUGCAGAAAUGUUCUUUCAAUAGAUGAGUAUUCAUCCUGUUUUGACAACAUUGAUCCCCUGGCACAUUAUAAGAAAUGGUCAACUAGGCAGGAAGUUGAUCAAAAUAGCACUUUGAAGAUGAAAAACACUGUUUACUCACAGAGAGUUCAGGCAGCAUUUGUUGUUAGCGAUUCUGUUGACUGGAGCAGGGACAUUCAGGUUGUCCUUAAUCUUCAGCUUAUUUGAUCAUUUGAACAUUUCUUUGAUAUUAACUGUGAGGUUUAACUUAAAAAGAGAAGUGGAGAAUAUGUACAGAACAACUAAAAAUCUACUAAAAAGAACAUGUUUUCCACUUCAUUAUGCUAUAAAAUUGAUUUAAAAUACCAAUCUAAAAGCAAGAAAAUGACCAACACUUGUAUUUGCUUGUUUGGAGAAGAAGAUCCAAGUCUAAUUGUAAAACAUUGGUGGGAAAAGAAUAGGGAGAGAAGACAAAAUUCUUGACUUUGGCACUUCUACUAUUGCUGUUAUAGCCAUGGACCUUUUCUUUCAAUACGUGAAUAAUCAAAGACAAAGGAAAAACAUAUGCAGAACCACAUUGACAGGAACUUGAGUAAAGGAGACUCAUUUUCCUUGUAUAUGUGAUAAAGGGGAUCUCUGGUACAUCUGGGAGCAUGGCAGGUCAGAGUAAAGAGGUGAUGGGCUGAUUCCUUUUUAACCUUUGACAACUAUGGAAAUGACUGAACUUUACCUUGCUUAUAAGCACUGUUGGUUCCAUAUUGUAAAAACCCAGUUAUUUCUCUGUUCAAAAAAUGCCUGACUAGAAAAUGGGACAAGAUUUUCACAGGGGAUGCUACUCUAGUCUCAAGGGCUUCAACAAUCCAGCAGUAAUGUUUUCAGGUGGAUUUGUAGAACUUAUUAAUCUUGAGAGGGGAAAAAAGGUAAAAUUAGAUUUUCCUUGAAAAACAAUGAAGAGCUUAGUUUGGUCUAUGCUUCUCCUAUCAGUCCUCUUUCAGAUCUGAGAGGACGAAAACUGGGGCAUAAUCGUCUUAUCUUUAGUAAAGUUUUCUAACACAAUGAUCCUCACUUGACUUGUGCUUCGAAUUUUCUCCAUAUAAACAUUACUCCUAUCAUUAAAACUAGAUAUUUUAGGAAGGCACAAAGAUCGCUAUUUAAUUUUUUUUUUCUCUGUGAGCUGUGAUUAGUAUCUAAGAUCUAUGAAUUCUUCUAUCCUUUUACCCUUUUCUUUCUUGUGUAGUUAGAAUUUCUUAAAUGCAUGAAUUCCAGGCUUUCAAUCUUUAAACUCUGAACAGAAUGAUGGUGGUUUUAGGUUCUCUGCGAUGUUUUAAGAACUGGAGGUCUUCCUGGAAGGGAAACUGGACAUCAACCACCUCUGUAUUUUGCUAAUGAUGACCUUGAAUACCAGGUCAGUUAUGAUGUUACUUAGAGGUUACUUGCAAUCUUGAUUUCUUGAAUUGUUGUGGAAUUAUUUCUUCUGAAAUCCAAUAUACUAACAAGAUACAUUAAAGGUAGGCUGCUUUUCCUUCUGAACGUCUUGGGAUGGGAGCUUUCAGGAUUGCAUUAGAAGCCAUCUUCAAUAGGUGAGGCUGGAAAAUAUGGUAACAUAUAAUGAAGGUUGAGAUUUGAUCUGAGUAAUGGUAUAGUCUCCUUCAAAGAAAUCAUACUGAUUCAAAGUCUCAACAGGCUCAUAGGCCCCUUCUUGGAUGAGCCACAAACUUAAGGUCAUGUUUGGUUUCCGGAAAAUACUAAGGAGAGAAAUUUUUUUUUUAAGGAAAAUAAUUUUAUCAUGUUCGGUUUUACCAUGGAAAAUACGAAUAUAUAUAUAUAUAUAUAUUUUUAAAUUAUUUAUAAAAGAGUUAAAAUAAAUGAAUGAGUUUAAAGUAAUAUAUAAAAAUAAUUUAUUAAUUUUAAAUCUAUUUUUUUAUUUUACUUCACUUUUUCUUUUCUUAUAAUUUUUCUCUUUUUUUCUUUCCUUCACAUUUUUCUCAAAUUUUCAAGGAACCAAACAAAGCCAAAAUGUUAUGGGACAAAUGAAUGCAAUCCCCCUAAAAUGAGAUUCAGGAGAUGAAUCAUCUAUAGAGGCAUUAGCAAUUAAGGCAGCGCCAAUGACAAAAUUGACAAUCAUCUAUAAUGUUAAUUACUAGGCUGAAGAGAAAUGAUCAUAUUCCCUGAAUUUCAGGUCUCACAUGAUACUACAGAUUAUUCUAAUGCCUACUAGUUUUAAUAUGCAGAAUCCACCCUAAAGCUCUGGAAUAUACAUCAUUCGGGAAGCCGAGCCCGUCUGUGUUCAAGAAUGCUGAAACCAUAUUGUCACAACUUGUGUCAUCUCUCCAUCAUAAACUUGAGGCUGAGAAUCAUGGAAAUGCUGGAAGUCAUCCUUUCAAAACACUGUAUAUGAUAGGAGAUAAUCCUUCAGUUGACAUAAAUGGUGCUCGUCAGGUUUGCCUCUCUAUGACUAAGAAUUUGGUUUCCAAGCCAGUCACUUAUGCGAGUCUUUGGUGAUUAAGGAAUGGGAUUCCAUAUUUUGCAUUUCAGGCAGGACAUCCAUGGUUUUCUAUUUUGACAAGGACCGGGGUUUUCAAGGGAAAGGAAAAUCAUGCUAAAUUUCCAGCAGAUCUGGUCAGUGAUUGUUGAAUUCUUAGAAGUUUGUUUACAUAUCAGGUUUCAUUUCUAUAAGUUUUACACCAUUGGUUUCAAGAAAAUAUUAAGGAAAAAAAAUGAUUUUCUUAUAUCCUAAAAAAUAGAAAAGAAAAUAAAAUAUAAUUAAAAUUUGUAAAAAGUUAUACAUUUUCAAUUUGUUUAAUCUUUAGAUAGAAGAGUGAAAAUUUGUAAAAUAAAUUUAAAGUAAUACAUAAAAAUAACUUAUGGAAUUUUUAUCUAUUUUUUCAUUUUCAUUUACUUUUAGAAUCCUAACAUAGUCUUUAUUUGACUGCAUUCAUCUCUUCCUGUUGCAAUAGAGAUAAAAAUCCCUUUUUCUUUUCCCCUGUUUUGCACCCAUAUUUUAAAACUUAAAAGCAUUUUUUUAUACCGUUCUUUCUGAAUUUUGAAAAUUUCAGCAUUUUAGCUGUCCCGGAGAACUCAUUAAACAAUAUGCAUGAAUUUCCAAAUUUUAAGAUCACAAGUCGCAAUUUGACACUCAUCUUAUUUGCCUGUGCAGGUUGUCGACACUGUGGAAGAGGCAGUGGACUUUAUAUUGACAAAGGAGUGCAACUCAUGAAGCUUCUACACCCAUACAUUCUUUCCCAAAGUAAUAAUUAUUUUGGAAAGUGUCGGAUCAAAAAAAAAAAUACAAAAGAGAGGGAGACAACGAUACGAGUAAAAGUAAAAGUAAUAGGGAAAUAUUUAUUUAAAAUAAAUAGAAAUAACGUUCCAGUUCCUUGGCCCUAUAGGGAUGUGGGCUGGAGAGUACUUCUUGGAAAACUAUUUCGCCUAUAUGGCGAACUGGACUGGGGUCAUUCAGCUGAGAAUGUAAUUCACCUUUUUUGAGAGGUGAAACUGGCAGGAUCCAGUUUUGAUUCAAAACAAGCUUCAUCAUGGGUGGAUGAAAUCUUCAUUUUUCAGCACUUGUAUCUCUCAUGUCUCUAACGCUAGAUGUAUGCCAGACAUCCAUCCAUUUGCAAAUAACCCUUGGCAUUAUUACUUGACUACAUAUUGCUUCAAAAGUUGCACCCUCGGAAGAUCCACAAAAUCCCAUUUGUUAAAAAAAAAAGGGAGUUUGAAGUGCUGUCUGCCAAUUCCUGUAGUCUUGCACCUGAAAUUAGCAAUUGAAUUAUAAAUUAUAGAUAAACACAACUAAAUCUAAAGGAGAUCUUUCAUUAACGUACGGUUAAACAGUUUGACCUGAUCUCCAACUAGGACGUUUCUACAAGUCCAUCUGUCGGUUGAACUACCGUAUGUGCACCAUAGGGGCGAAAAAAAAUUAAAUGUCCGCUUAGAUACGCCUUCUGUUUCUUAUUUUUAAAAACCAAAAAUAAUAAUUUUGAAAUAAAAUACAAAAACAUUUAGGGUCUCAAAUUAGAAAGAGGAAUGGCUUUUAAAAAUUGUUUUAAAAAAUAUAAGUAUCAAAAAAUCUUUACUCACUCAAAUUUUAAAAUUUUUUGAAGAAUUUUUCAAGUAUAUAAGAUAAGUCUAUACAUUUUGUAUCAAAGUUUUUAUUUUUAUAUAUAAGUAAUUACUAUUUUCUGUUUAAAAAAAAAUAAAAAACAGGUAGUGUAUCCUAUCCAAUCGAUACCUAACAUAUCUAAUUUCUUCAUUUCAAAUGCUAUGGAACAACCCCGGUUUGAAAGAUAUACACAGAAAAACUUACCCCAAUUCCCUCUGAAACUUCAGAAACACCUACCUCAGUUCCCACUUUGGGAUUAGAAUUUUAUGACUUGUUUGGGUUGGCUUCCAAAUUUUCCAAGGGCCUUAUCCAAAGCAGCAUGAAAAUUGCUGAAAGGAACCAGCUCCAUCCUGAAAACAAAGAUGUCUCAAUGAGCAAAGUCAACACUAGACAGCAUGUAGAUAUAAUCAAGAACCCUUGAAACUAGUGAUACAUGUAGUAAAGCAGCAUGGUGUUGCCAGCCCAGAAAGUUAAAAAAACUCAUUGAUCCCAGUGUUCAUUUUGGUGGCUCCACAUUCCCAGUCGGCAAUCUCAUUUCCAGAGGCAUAAGUUGGACGAUAAAAAGGGGACAUCAGAAACCUUCCCAGAGUUUGUUAAAUCAGCAUUACAUCACUGAUUUCUCUCCUUAGAACAAGUAUUUAACAAAGUUCUAAUCAAAAUUUCAUUAUUUACUUAAAAUAAGAUGAUUUUAUGAUAUAUUGUGCAAUAGAUGGAUAUGAUCCUGACCAGCAGGACGUGUAGUUGGUGAUUCUGUCACAAACCUAAAGAGGUCAAUAAAUGCUGUAAAAGAAAAUGUGCUAUAUCUUGGUAAGUGUUGAGUCUAUCUGACAAAACCUUAUUUUAUCAUAUCGCCCAUAUGACUCUUGCCAGGUAACACCCAAAAUGAUAUGCAGAAUAAACUGUUGAUCCCAUGCAUCAAAUUAUCCAGCAUCAUGCCAGGUUCACACUCAUGGGAUCAAUUUAUUUUUUCUUUAGAAGGUCAACAUACUCGUAUUUUAUCUUUCCCUCUUGUGUGAGCCCCAAAAGGUAAUCUAUCAUCUUUCUGGACUCCUUUGCUUUAUCUGAACUCAUCCAUUUCUGCAGCCAGAAUCCCCUCAAGGAAAGAUCCUGAAAAUAAAUAGAUAUUAGGGUGUCAUAUAUGACAAAGGCUGUGAAGAAAAUACAUGGCUAUCUAGAGAGAGAGAGAGAGAUCUGCAACAUUCUGUUUAAUAUCAGGCCUGUUUAAGAUUUUAGUUAAUUUGACCUUUCUCAUAAACAGUCAUAAAAGUCUAAGGAAAUUUUCCUUCAUAUCGGCACUCCACCAGUCUUCUCAAUCCAGAUUUACCAUUUUUCCCUUUCCAACUUUUGGCCUCUUUAUACCUCAGCUUACUUCCAUAUGCUUUGUAGAAACUUCUUUAUGGAAGAUUGAGCAUUCCAAAUGGAUGAAACGGAACACAAAUACAACCACUUAAACCAGAAUAAUUUGACUUAACAGAGAACAAAAACCAUCAUAUAUCUAGUUUGUUACAUUGUUAUAGCAAGCCUGGAAAAGUUAGGAUGCUACUGGAACCAAAGAUGUCACAAAGAUAUUGAUAGAGAAGCCUGCAAAGGCAAGAGGCAUCUUUUUAUCGUUCUGGACAAACCAAGAAGCUAAGAGACUUGCUUUAUCAAUCUAAUUUCAUCCAAAUAAUUUUAACAAUCCAAGAGCAUUAUAUCAUCCCAAAGAUCUGGAUAGAAUUGAACAAACCAAGCAGCCAUGAAGCUUUACUGACUGCCUAAUCUCAUCCAAAUAAUCUAGACAAUUGGAUAGCAACAUGGGGAUUGGGUUGAGGGGAAAUAGGAAAAAGAGAGAGAGAGAGAGUGUGCAACACAAGCAUAUAAUAAUUAACAAGGACUUAUCUCAGGAAUAUGCAAUUUCUUGUUUAGUCCCUAAAGUUUGCACCAAAAUUGACAACAAUAACAAUAGACUAAAACAGAAAGAAACGGGAUCUGAUGUCAUGGAUUACCUUAAAAAUGAAAGAUGAAGUUGAAACAGUGAUAGGUUUCUUAGACAUUCCACCAUAUGUUACCAUAGUUCCCCCCUGCCUGAAGACAAGAAUUUAUCAGCUCCCCAGAAGAAGAUUUUAGAACAAAAAAAAGUAGCUUAAUUUCCAAGCACAUCUCACCUCAAGAAUUUGAGAACCAAAGUGGCAGAAUUGCCACCAACACAGUUGAAUCCCAAAGCAGGUUCCGGUAAAUUAGCCUAGCAUAUUAAUUAAAUGUAAAAUGGAAAUUUUGAGUGCUAUGACCGUAAAAUCCAAGAAAUAAAAUUAACUACUAUAAAGCACAAUCUUUAGCGACACCAAAGACAUAUCAUAAAGAAUAAACACCUCCCUACAUCAGAAAGUAUCAACUAUACAGGGGCAAUAGAUAAGAUACCAGGAGGCCUUUGACAUUCUUAACUUCCAAUUGACUCUCAGUGAACACUUCAUCAGCACCAAGCCCCUUAAGUUUUUCUUUUACUUCAUCUGAUCCAACCCUGUAGCAAGAGGAGGAUGAUAAACAAUGGUGAAAUUCCCCAUAUAAAAUUUCUUUUGCUGGAAGCAAAUGCCAAAUUAUUCUUCAAUCUGUUUAGACAUGUAGUCAAAUAAACUCCAUCACUCACUUAUAUUAGACACCUGCAGGAAGCCACAAUCUUAAAAUUAUCAGCACACACUUCUUAUUCAGACGUAUAUCACUUCUCAUUCCUUUGUUUAUAUUAUGAUAUUCAGUCUGUACACCUUUAAUCAAUUUCUUGUCACUGUACUUUACAACAUCCAACUGGUUGACCAAUUGAUUCACAAUACUUCCCUCACCUUCAUCAAAUGUGUCAAUGAUUUUCAGAAGGUAUCAAAUCAAAAGGAACUGCAAGAAAACUAUCAUAAUCAUGGAAGACUCUCAUCAUGAGGUCUGAGAAUAAUAGUUGGUUACAGAUAGCUUGACACCAAUUGGACAAAAUCCAACAAAUCAUACUAGGCUUCCCCAACUGCAAGUUAGGCCACUGAACUCACCCUACCAUUGUUGAAGUCAACUAUGUGGGUGUCAAUACAAUAACAAGAGAAUCCAUGCAUUUAUAUGCAACCUAGAAAAGUCAAAUUGAUGAUGCCUCUGGGGAUGCUUGUCCAUAUGCACCUACAGCCAGUAGGCAGAGAAUCUGAGAGGGGAUACUGGAAGAAAGUCACCAUCUGAUGAUUGACUAGUGUGGUGGACAUUCAACACAGCAAUAAGGUUGUUACUUGGCACCAGAGUUUAACACCCUUCGAAAAAAUUAAGGACAAAAGUAAACACCUAUGCAUGGACAAGAUGAAAAAGGACAAUAUUCCAUCAAAAGAUAAAGUGGUAUUUGGGUUAACUUGAGGGGGCUCAAAAGCCUUUGUUGAUGCAUGGACAAGGAUUUAAUGAUGCAAUAAACUUCUGUGUUUUGAUCAGUUGUCCAUAAAUAUAAAUAUUUUGCAAAAAUAUUUGAAACCUCAAAAACAUUCACUUAAGUAUUAAAAAAAAAGGCCAAGAUGCUACAAAAGGUUUUAUACCACAAAGUGGAUGAAUUCCAGGAAGACUAAAGAAGUCGCAAGUAACUGCAUAUCAGCCAAGUUUCAUACAUGAACAAGAUCAACUGGAAACACAUGCAAAUGCAAGAGAAUGCCGAAUGCCACCUAAUUAUUUAAGUUUGACUGACCAUGCACUGAAAAACUUAGAUGAAAACAAGUUUUUUAGUAUCAAAGUUUCCAAUCAGCACCUGUCUCUUAUUAUAUUAAUGCUGUGGAUGCCACGAAUUCGUGCAAGCUGAAUGAUGCACUGGCCCACAAUGCUUGUAGCCCCAUUUUGCACAAUAGCAUCACCUAUUCAUACCCAUACUAAUCAGGGAAACACAUAUAAAAGAAAUUACAAUUUUUUAGCACUAAAGACAUACCUGGAUUUAGAUUGCCAAAGUCUUCAAGCAUUCUUAGUGCGGUCAAAGGAUUAAUAGUAACAGUGGCCGCAUAUUCCAUAGGCACAUCUUUAUUAAUUUUGUGCCAGACACUCUGCUCUUUCACAACAUAUGUCUGCCAUGUUCCUAUGCAGAACAAAUUUUGUCAUUAUCCAAUAAGAUCAUGCAAAGCACACAUGUUUUUAUGUGAGUUCUCUUGGUGUUUUGUUGUCAAAUGAUUGGAUACUUAAGAUGUAGCAUUUUCUAGUUUUGCUUCAACUGGCUGUGUAAGGAUUUCACAUACUCAUACUUAAUUUUGUGUUUUCCGUCUAAAGGCAUUGGAAUAUGCAUUUCAAAGUAUUGGAAUGCCAGCAAUGAAGUGAUGCAAAACUUAUAAUAACUUUGUGAUAUCCAAAUUAGAAAAAGAGAGUGUUACCAGAAGAGGGAGGAGAUGGGAUCACCCAAUCACCAGGAGAAAGUCCCUUAACUGCAGAGCCCAAAGAGUGUACUUCUCCAACUCCCUCAUAUCCUCCUACUGCUGGAACAUGUGGUCUCACAGGGUAAACACCUAUAAAAUCGAAGAUUGUCAGUCUCAAAAACAAAAAAAAUCAUUUCCAAAACAAAAUUCAAGACAUUGUUCAUAAACAAAUGAAAAUCAACAACACAAUAAAAAGAAAUAUAAAUUAUUAGGCAAAGUUUUGUUAGCAGUUCCAAAAAAAAAUUCUUACUUCUGAAAGCAAAAUUUUCAUUGAUCUUAGCUCUUGAAAAUUGAGAAAAGUAGUUCAAAACUUUAACCAAACAAUCCCAUAAAAGAACACCUUGAUAAUAACUUUCAAAUAUAAUUAAACAAAAACGGGGAAGAUGCAUUGAAGUGACGCUAAUCUACUGUUUGGGUGCUGCUAAACAACAAUUUAAAAAAUAGAAUUAACUAAAAUUCAGAAUCUAAGAUUCUUACAAUAUUAGAAACAAAAAAUAACAGCGUCCAUUCAACCGAGGCCAGCACAACUAUUAGGUUGUUUGUCUCGGUUGAUCAGAGACACAAGAGGAAAAAAAAACGCCCGCUCAACUGAAACUAACACAACUACGAGGCUAUUUAUCUCAGAUUCUCAGGUGAGACGAUAUUCACUUUCCUUUUCUUUCCCUCUCCUCAAUUUUCUCGGAAACCAAACAGGACGCAAUAGAAAAACUAAUCCAACCUUCGAUCCUAUUAAUAUCGGAAGGAUUGAUGGGAGCAGCGAGCAUUUUAACGCAGACAUCGUUCUCUUUAACCUCAACUGGAGGUAGCUCAACCACUCUGCCAAAACAAAGAUGUGAAAAUUCAAUACUCUAUAUUUUUUCAUCGCAACUGUCAAUUACACUAACAAUGAAGAUAUUCGAACCUGGUCACGCUCUCCGGUGGCCCAUGGUGCUCAUACACCACCGCCGAUGACGGCGGCGACAUAGCGGCCGAGAAGGCUCGAAUUUGGCUCCAACACCGGGGCAGAGAUUCUGACCUAAGACAAAGAAACGACGAGCCAUAGUGGGUUCUCGCGGUUGCUAACCUCACCAACGCCAUUCCGCCCUUCUUUUGCCUUGCCAGAGGGUUUGAAUCCCAAUUUUGUUACUGUUCUUUUUUCUCCAUUUUUUUUUUUCUGAUUAAACAUAAGUUAAAAACGGCGUCGUUUGAGGCCUCGUCUUCCGUUUUUGGGGAUUCUUGUGCUUUGGUUUUGGGCACGGUCAAACGGACCGGCUUUGCACCCAAACUGAUCUGCUAUUCCCUUGUGUGAGUGCUAUGCUCUUAAACGGCGUCGUUUAAAGCCUCAUUAAUGUUCUUUACAUUUCAAAACGGUUCAUAUUUGUAGAAUCCACCUAUACUUGGUAGAGCUUGGCGGAUUUGGUACGGAUCAACCUCAUCUCAACUUAUCUUAAUUAUUUAAACAUAUAAUCAUCUUCAUUCAAAAAUUAAGAAGAAAAAAAAAAGAAUAAGAUAAGACUUUAGGAGUAUGAGAAUUUCUCAUACCCUUUGCCCAUUUAGGCUUUUUUCAAUUUUUUUAAAUAAAAUUUAAUUAUAUUAAAAAUAAAUAUAAUUUAUAAAUAAAUAAAGAUUUAAAAUUUUAUAAUCUAUUUUAAUAUAUAUUUUUUAUUUUAUGUGUUUAAAAAAUGAAAAAUAAAAAAUAAAAAAAUAUACUUAAAAUUAAUUUUUUUACUAAUUGUAUGUCUAAAAGGGGCAAUAUAAGGUGGGAAUAAGGUAAUGCAUGAACUCGUCUUGAAUUUGAAAAAAAGUUUCAAACUCAUUUCUAAUUUGUUUAUAAUUUUCCUAAAUUUGUCAUAUUACAGCAAUAAGGUAUAGGUAUAUGAGAAAACUCUAUCUCAUUGGCAUCACUACUCUACACAUAACAUGUCAAAAAUCAUUUGGAAGCAACUUAUUCAAUA
This 73588-nucleotide long non-coding RNA is filed under the name Vitis vinifera (wine grape). RNAcentral describes it as "long non-coding RNA (VVIN_LNC001712)". The record is from RNAcentral. Lineage: Eukaryota; Viridiplantae; Streptophyta; Magnoliopsida; Vitales; Vitaceae.